UUUUUUUUUUUUUUUUUUUUUUUGGUUUAGUAGUGGGGAGAGAGUUUGUUUGGAUUAUAUGUAUUUACAUGUGAAAUCAAUCUGGGUUCCUGAAAAAAAAAAAAAGAGAAAUCAAUCUGGGAAUUUAUGGAUUGCAGUUGUGGCGCCAGGAGGCACGGGCAAUCAAAAUCUAUCUACCUACCUAUUACUCCCUCCGUCCCACUUUAAUAGUUCUAUAUUUCUUUUUCAUCUGUCCCAAAUUAUAGUCCACUUUCCAAUUGAAAAAUAUAGUUAUAUUUUAAUUUUCCUAAAAUAUCCUUAUUCAAUGCAAGUAGUUGUUACUAUAAACCUAACACAUUUAAUGAGAGUUGAUUCUUUUUUCACCAUCAAUUCAAGUUCUCAUAAAGUUGUACCAUAUUUAAUGUGAGGGUAUUUUAGGAAAAUAGCAAUCUAAAUUUACUUUUCUAACAAAAUUAAUUACUUUUUUUUAAAUUGUGUGAAAAAAGAUACAGGACUAUCAAAGUGGGACGGAGGGAGUAUAUAAGAAAGAAGCGAGAUUACUGUAGCAGUCUCUAUGACUGUCAAAUGGCUCCCAUUUAGUUUGACAUGUGGAUCAUUAAUCCUUUGAAGAAGCUAUCUAUAUUAUUUUUCCUUUUUCUUUUGGUUUUCUUUUUUCCCUCAUUUCUUCUUUCCUUUUUGGCAAAAGACAACAACCACAAGAAUCUUUAUCCUUAUCUACACUAUCACUUGCACGUUCAAUUUUCACUCUGUUCUCUUUUCAUUUUUUUUCUCUUUUUUUUGCUUCACCCUAAUCGUUUACUCUGCUUUUGUUUUUUCUAUUGAAUUAGUUGAUGCAUUUUUUUUUCAAAAUUUUCAUAAUUAACUAAAUGAAUGGUUUUUGUUGUUGGAGUGGAUGAGGGAAGACAGCAAUUUUUGUUGAGGGAAGCUAACAAUUUUUCCUCAAUUGAAAUUCAUUCCAAUUUUAGUUUUCAUUUAUUAAAAUUGUUAUUUAAUAAUAGGCUAAUAGUGCUGGAAUGAAGGAGGAAGAAUUUGACAAGUGAAGAUCCAAGAUAAAUGAUGACUAGGAAGGAAAUAGAGAGGUCUAUUUUUUAGUGAGAUUACUGUAGCAGUCUCUAUGACUGUCAAAUGACUCCCAUCUAGUUUGACAUGUGGCUCAUUAAUCAUUUGAGAAAGCUAUCUAUAUUUUUUUCCCUUUUUCUUUUGGUUUUCUUUUUCCCUUCAUUUCCUUUUUCCUUUUUGGCAAAAAACAACAACCACAAGAACCUUCAUCCUCAUUUAUACUAUCACUUGCACGUUUAAUUUUCACUCUGUACUCUUUUCAUUUUUUUCCUCUUUUUUUUGCUUCGCCCUAAUCGUUUACUCUGCUUUUGUUUUUUCUAUUGAAUUAGUUGAUGCAUUUUUUUUUAAAAUUUCCAUAAUUAACUAAAUGAAUGGUUUUGUUGUUGGAGUGGAUGAGGGAAGAUAGCAAUUUUUGUUGAGGGAAGAUAACAAUUUUUCCUCAAUUGAAAUUCAUUCCAAUUUUAGUUUUCAUUUAUUAAAAUUGUUAUUUGAUAAUAGGCUGAUAGUGCUAGAACAAAGGAGGAAUAAUUUGAAAAGUGAAGAUCCAAGAUGAGUGAUGACUGGGAAGGAAAUAGAGAGGUCUAUUGAAUUUAAAAUUAAUCAAAGUCUGUUAAUUUAUAGAUAGAUAAUUAUAUUUCCAUAUUUUGAUUUAUUUAAAAUUUCUUAAUAGCGACAAAUGGUUAUUUACUAGAUGAGAACGAUGAUAUGUAAAGGAAUUGUUAGGGCUACUAACUUAGGAUAUGAAUAAAAUAUUUCGUAUAAUCUCUUCAUUUUGGGUUACUGACUUGUAUCCAUGAUAGGUGGUUUAUUUUCAUAGUAUGAUAGUUUGAGAAGACAAGAAGUGCAGAAUUAGAUUUUAAAAUCAUUUGCUUAAGUUGGUUCUAUGAAUUUGUUUUUUUUUUUAUCACUUUUAUUGUCCUAAUGAUAAUAUAAGGUAGAUGUGGAACUGGAUAUAUCAUGACUAUUUGGCUGAAGUAGUUGAUAAUUUUUUAUAAACUCAAGUAGCUGAAUUGAUUGCUGUUGUUAAGGAAUUGCAAUUAGUGGUGGAAGUCAAAAUUGAGACUUUUAACCUAGAGAGUGAUUUGACAAAAAAUUUGUUAAAAAAUUCAAUCUUGAUUAAUAAGAUAUUUUUGCGAUCAAAUAAAUGGUUGGUUUCGAAUUUGUACAUGUACAUUUGCAAACAUGGCAGUUCAUAUUUUUAUCUAAUAUUGCUAUUUGUAUUCUCAAACUGUUUGGCAGAUAAUGUUAUCACCUAUUUGUAAUGCUAUUAAAAAGGAUUUAAAUGGAUGGAUUAACAACUCGCCUUUUCUCUAAAAAAGACAAAAAAACAAUGUGUAGGUUUGUAUGUUUUGAAAAGGAUAGAAAAAUAUGCAAGUUUGUAUGUUUUAUUGAUGUUGAAAAUUGUGACAGAUCUUGGCAAUUUUCUAAACUUUUUUCUAAUUAUUAAACUGCUAGAAGUAUUAUGACUACUUUUGGUUUAGUCACAAUUAAAGCUAUGCUGCCAUUAAAUUGGCAAUGUAGUGUACUUAUUAUCUCUCCUUUUUUUGGUAUUAUUAUGCACACAUAGAAUUGGUUCAAAAAUCUUUGUCCAAAUCACAAUAAAUAGCAGACUAACUUCAUAAACGAAAUUUCUCUUCAUAGCAAAUUUUAAUUGUUUUGAUGCUCAAAAUUUCUCCUGUAUUUACCAAAAAGAUUUAUUGCUCUAUGUUUAACUAAACUUCUAAGGGGCACAGCACGGCCAAGAUACAUCUACUAGUAGUAUAAAUAUGGUGUAGAAAACAAAAUGUAUUAGUGGACUGAGAUUUUUUUUCCUUUUUAUUUAACCAAAAAUUUUUUUUUUUUACUUUUUCUGUUGUCAUGCUUUUGGGGCAGGUUAUAGGGUACCCGCCCUUAAAAAAAAUAUUUUCCAAUAAAAAAUAUUUUUCAUUUAAUAUCAAUAUGUUUUCCAAUAAAAAAAGUAUGCUUUCCAAUUAACAUUGGUAGAGAUAUUAUAAUCAAAAUCCAUGCAUCACCAUUCUCACACAUUUCAUCCAAUAAUCAAACCGAUUUCAUAAAUUUAGUACAUAUUAGAAUUAUAAUAUCUAAUAAAUAAAAUGAAAUUUUAUGAUAAUUUAGAGUACAUCAUCAUUCUCAGGCAUUUCAUCCUCUACAACAUAACAAACACAAGAAUAAUAAGUAUAUGACAACUUUUCCAAGUAUAACAAACACAAGGAUAAAACGAAGUUUUAUAAUAAUUUUGAGUACAUCACCAUUCUCACGCAUUUCAUCAUUUUACAACAGAACAAACACAAGGAUAAUAAGUAUAUGGCAACUUUUCCAACUUCCUUAAGGAUGUUAUGGUACAAGAUUGCACUUAAAAUGAGUCGAUUGUGGAAUCAUGUCCGGAAAGAAAUUGAACAGAGCUAAUAAUUUUUGAAGAAAGUAUAACCAAAAUAAUCUUGAAAAAUUUUCUCCAACUUUUACCAAAAUAAUUUUGAAAAAUUUUUUCCAACUUUUUUACAUCUUUGGAAUAGGCCUUUUGCAUUAAAGGUGAUGAAAAGAAAAAUAAAUUUCUUGCACUAAAAUAAAGGAGACAAAUUUAAGAGACACAAUUGCAAUAAAAUAAAUAAAUAAAUGAAAGACACAAAUUCGAUUUGAGUAUUCAAAUGGGUGAUAGGUGGAAUAAUGUCUAUGCAAGUUGGAUUUUGAGAUUUUGCCUGAUUAUAAUUAAUCUAGGUCAGUUGCUUGGAAUCCAUCUGAGAUUGUUAAAAAUCUGGAAUAUUGUCAAUGACUUUAAUGGUAGAUAAGUGGUGUUUUGUAGAAAGAAAGGGGUCAAUUAGACAUUGAAACUUAGGUUCUACAAAUCACAAGAAUUACUAGAGAGCAUAUUGCACCAAGGUUCAUUUGGAGGUUGUUUUGUCAUGAUUUAGAUGAAUUGUGCAGAUUUUUGUCCUUUGCAGGCAAAUAUAGGACUCUCAUGUAAUGUAGUUGCAACUUGACGUUUGAUUUGAGUAUUUAAAUGAUGGGUGGUGGGUGGAACAGAGUAUAUGCACAUUGUAUUGGAUUCUGUGAUUUUGUUUGGAUUCUAAUUAAUUUCAGUGAGUUCCUAGGAAUCUAUUUGGGUUUGUAAAAAAUCUGGAAUGUUGUCAAUGACUUUAAUACGUGGUGCUUUUGGAGAAAAGAUAAAAGGUUAAUUAGAAACCGAAACUUAGGUUCUGGAAAUCCCAAGAAUUACAAGAAAGCAUGUUGCACCAAGGUUUAUAGGUUGGUUUUUUACGAUUCUAUAAGGUUAAUGGCAAAGAGUAGCAAGAACACACUAAAGUUUAGUUUGAAAUUUUUUAGACUGUAUAUCCUUUGCUGGUAUAUAUAGGACUCGUAUGUAAGGAGGUUGCACUUUGGGAGGAACAAAGUGUACGUGCAUCUUGUUGCAAACUAAUUGAUUACUUGGAAUUUAUUUAUGAGUUGUUAGAUAUUUGGAGUAUUGCCUAUGAAUUUUACAAGCAAUUAGUAGUGUUCUGGUUAAAUAGGUGGAGAAAAGAAAAAUAUGUUUGAGAAAUCCCAAGAAUUACAAGUAUUGCCACAAGGUUCAUUUGGAAACAUUUUUUAGAAUUCUACAAGGCUUAAGGUAACCAGAACUUUCCAUGUUUAGUUAGAAGUUUGCUGUGUUAAUUGUGCAGAGUUAGUUCCUUUGUAGGCAUUUAGAGGAGUCAUAAACAAGGAUAUUGCACUUCGGGAUUUAAUUGAUUGGCCUGAUGGUGACACAAGGAAUUGAAUAUCGCAUCUUUUGGAUUCUGUCUAAUUUAAUUGAUUGGCCAGAUGGUGACACAAGGAACUGAAUAUCGCAUCUUUUGAAUUCUGCCUAAUUUAGGUGAGUUACUUGGGAUUUAUCUACUGGUUUGUUACAAAUUUCGAGUAUUGUCAGUAAUUUCAUGGUAGAAGUAGUAUUGAAUUGAAAUAGAUGGACAAAAAAGAAACGGUAUUUAGAAUCAGAAAAAUGGUAUAUAGACAAGGAUGAUUAGAAGUUUGAGUUGUGUGGAGUUUUGCCCUUUGCAGGCACAUAUAGGACUCUUGUGUAAGGACAUUGCACUUUAGAGUAUCCGUUGAAUACUCAAAUGGUGAUAGGAGGAACAAAGUAUGUGCGCGUGCUAUUGGAUUCUAAUUAAUUUAGGUGAGUUGCUUGGAAUUUAUUUCUAGGUUGUUAAAGUUUGGCGUAUUGUCAUUGAAUACUAUGAUAGAUUACUGGUGUUCCGGUUGAAUGGAGAAAAGAGAAAAGGUCAUGUAGCGCAGAAACUUAGGUUCAGAAAUCCCAAGGAUUACAGGCAGGCAUAUUACAGCAACGUUCAUUUGUAGUUGCUUUUUAACCUUUGUGCAAGGCUUAAGGCAGAGAGCAACUACAACAUACCAAGUUUAAUUAGAAGUUUACUGGUGUCGUGCAGACUUAGGUAUCAAUUGAAUAUACAAAUGGUGACAGGAAGAGCAAAGUUUAUGUUGUAUCUUGUUGGUCAAGGUGAGUUUUUGGGAAUUUAUUUGUGGGUUAUUAAAUAUCUGGAGUAUUGCCAAUGAAUUUUACAGUUGAUCUAGUUAAAUAAAUGGAGAAAAAAAGAAAGGUUAUUUAAAACAGAAACUUAGGUUUGGGAAAUUCUAAAUCUACAUGUAAGAAUAUUGCAGCAAGGCAGUUUUUAGGUUGUUUUUUCUCCAUUCUGCAAGGCUUGAGGCAAAGAGUAACCAGAACAUACAAAGUUCAGUUGGAUGUUGUGCAGAGUUUGGUUCAUUUGCAAGCAUUUAAAGGACUCAUUCAUAUACAAGGACAUUUCACUUCUAGAUUUAGAUUGAUUGGUCCAUAUGGUAAUAUGAGGAACUAAGUAUUGCAUCUUUUGGGAUUCUUUCUAAUAUAGGUUAGCGGCUUGAAAUUUAUUUGUUGGUUGUUAAAUAUUUGGUGUAUUGAUGAUCAAUUAGUAGUGUUCUUGUUAAUUAAAUAGAAGAAAGAAAAAAGGUUAUUUAGUAAAGAAACUUAGCUUCGAGAAAUCCCAAGAUUACUACUAAGCAUAUUGCAGCAUAAUUCAUUUGGAGGCUUUUUUACCAUUCUACAAGGCUCAAGGCCAAGAGUGACCAGAACAUACCAAGUCUAGUUCAUAGUUUGUUGGCUUUCUGCAGAGUUUGGUUCCUUCGCAGGCAAUUUGGGAGGACUUAUAUUCAAGGACGUUGCAUUUUGGGAUUUAAAUUGAAUGCCCAGAUGGCAACACAAGGAACUUAGUAUUGCAUCUUUUUGGAUUCUAUCUAAUCUAGCUGAGCUACUUGGCAUUUAUCUGUGGGUUUGUUAAAAUCUGCAGUAUUACCAAUGAUUUUGUGGUAGGCAAGAAGUAUUGUGGUUUUUAGAAUCUGAAAGUGAACUUCUGCAACCAGAUUUACAAGAUAGCAUAGCACAUUGUAGCAAGGUUCAUUUCAGGUGAGUUGUCCAGAAUUUUGUCCUUUGCUGAAAAUUAUAGGACUUUUAUUUAAUGACAUUGCUCUUUGUCAUUUUUGGCAUUUUAGGUGAUUUGAUUCAAAACAGUUGUUACUUGUUUUUGUUUUUCCCAAGUAUAUAGUUAUUCUUGUGGCAUUGGAUAGUGAAAAUUUUUAAAUGCUAAAAGACCUAGGCUUCAUCUUAUUAAUCCUCAAAUGGUGUAAUUUGCUAAAAGAGUGUGAUGGGAUCAUGGGACCAUCGUAAUAGAGUGAUGGACCAUAAUGAAGGCAGUGGUACUCAGAGUGAGCGUGGAUACACAUCUAUCGUGAGUGUGAACAUUUUUAGUAUUACAUUCUUUUUUUUUUCUUCCUCGAAGGUAGAAACACACACACACACACACACCCGCUGCACUCAAUGAUGCAGGAAGCAUCGAGAAACUGGCCUAACAGAGCAAUCUAAGAGGGACUCAUAGAGAAACCUUAUCCAGUCAAUUGGUGACAGGAAGGGUUCCCAUGGACCUUAAACCUAGAGUAAAGAUCCCACGAUCUUUCAAUUUGGGAUGGUGCAAGCCCUUCGAUCUUUUGAUAGUAUUACAUUCACUUGUGGAGUUUUAAGCAUGCAAUCGAUUAAUCUUGAGUUUUUUUUUUUAACAUAUGAUUUUUCCACCCCUCCUCGCUCCCAGCUGUAGGAUUCGAACUCUGAAUUUGACAGUGAAAAACUCUUAUAGCUUUCCCCCUAUUUUGAGUGAAUGUGUUUUAGAACACUUUGUUUAGAAAUUAUCGUAGUGUGAAAGUAUUUUUGGACGAUUACUAUUUUAUCGUAUUAUAAAAAAUUAAAAACUUUCUAUAACAAUUUUUUGUUUUAUAGCUAUGUUGGUAUUAAAAAUGUGGUUAAUUUGUUACAGAAAAAAAUAAAAAAGCAAUUAACUUUAAAUAAGAGUUAGUCUUGACGCUACAUUAUCACGAUUGAAUUCGGUGAUACGUCAAUAAAAUUUGUUCAAAUUUUACACAUAUAACAUAUUUAAAAUCGUUUCAUAAACAUUUUUUUUCCAAAGUUUCACAACAGAAAUAGUAGAGAGCCAUUAAUCCUACCCACAAAUUGCAAAUAUGAGCAAAGGCUGGGGUUUCAUUGCAAAUUUGCAAUGGACGCGAUUCUUUGAUAAGCUCUCCGAAUCUCUCCACAGUCCCCAGCAUAAACCCUGAAUCUCCAAUCCCGCAUAAGAACAAGACAAUCCUCUGAAUUCCUAGAACCCUAGAUCCCACAAUGGCCCUUCGCCUUAAGCUCCGAUCAAUCUUGCUGCUUCAAAACCACCGCCGUUUCUCAACCUCAAUCCUAAAUCCCAACUCAAAUACCCCACUGACCAGCAAGGAAAAGUCUCGGGCGGCGCUCUCUCUCCUUCGGGCCGAGAAGAACCCAGAACGAAUACUCGACAUUUGCCGCGCUGCUUCGCUGACUCCGGAAUCCCAUCUCGACCGCGUCGCCUACUCCAAAGCCAUUUCCAAGCUUAGGGACUUAAAUUACUUCAAUGGGAUUCGGUCUUUUGUCGAGGAAUCCAUGGCCCGGCCCGAUAUGAAGUCCGAGAGAUAUAUUUCCCAUUUUGUUGUUCUGUAUGGGCAGGCUGGCAUGGUUGCUGAUGCACGCAAGACGUUUGAGGAAAUGCACGAGAUCGGUCUCGAUAGAACGGUAAAAACACUUAAUGCUUUGCUGUUUUCUUGCGUUUUAGCCAAGGACUACAAGGAAAUGAAGCGGAUUUAUAUGGAAUAUCCAAAAAUUUAUGGGAUUGUCCCGAAUUUAGAUACUUACAAUACUGUGAUCAAAGGGUUUUGUGAGUCUGGUGAUUCGAGUUCUUGUUACUCGAUAUUGGCUGAAAUGGGUAGGAAAGGGGUUAAGCCGAAUGGGACAACGUUUGGGACGAUGAUUGCGGGAUUUUAUGAGGAGGAGAAAUUUGAGGAUGUCGGUAAAGUGUUGAAGAUGAUGAAAGAAGAGCAUAGCAUAACUCCUGGGACUAGUAUUUAUAACAUUAGGAUUCAGAAGCUGUGCAAGUUAAAGAGGUGUAGGGAGGCAAAAGCAUUGUUUGAGAGCAUCUUGUCGAGAGGCUAUAAGCCGAAUAAAGUAACUUAUCAUCACUUAAUUCACGGGUUCUGUAAGGAGGGAGAUUUGGAGGAGGCAAAAGGGUUGUUUGAGAGGAUGGUGAAGAGUGGGAUUAAACCCGAAGGCGAAUGCUAUUUCACUCUGGUUUACUUCCUGUGUAGAGGUGAGGACUUUGAGGCUGCACUAAAGAUCUGUAAAGAGUGUCUUGCAAAGGGUUGGGUUCCAAAUUUCACGACUAUGAAGUUGCUUGUGGAGGGUCUGGCUAGCAUUUCAAAGGUCGAUGAAGCAAAGGAGAUUAUUGGGCACCUAAAAAAGGAGUUCUCAGCAUAUGCUGAUCGGUGGACUGAGAUUGAAGAAGGAUUGGCAAAGUAGACAGGAUGAACAUGGUAGUCUAUUGAAUCUGCUUCUGCAUCAUACGAUGAUCAUACUGAGACCAAGUUAGAAAUAAUUUGUACGUAAUUUUUGUCUGGAUAGAAUUGUAGUUUUCUACUCAGUUAUGGUAGCUCGACAAGUUUUGAUUUUGAUAAUUUUGUUAUGAUCAGUUGCGCAGUUUAUUAAGGUGUUUUAUCAAUUAAACUAACUCUGCUGGAGAUAUAUGGUACACAAAUGCAGUUCAACGUAUCAUAUUUCCUUUCGCAUACAUUUGGAGAUACGUUUCAAUAACAUGAAUGUACGUACCGGUGCUGCUUUUUUUAUGUAUUAGGCUUCAGACAGGCUCAAGGACUCAGAAUUUUCACGAGAUAUUAUGCUUACAGGCUCCAAUCGUACUCUCUGAUUGAUGUUAGUGUGGGCAUUAAUUAUGCUGAAUGUGGCAUGUGUAGGAUCAUGCAUUGCGAUUCGGGUGUUCUUUUCAGCUGAAUAAACAUUCGUGCUUCUCAACCAAAGCCUUUACUCUCGAGGAAUUCAAUGGCCUAUAACCUGCGGCUAGGUUUAUUAGAAUCUUACAGGACGAGCAUCAUUUGCUGAAUGAAUAAUCUUUUCGAGACAAGUGGUUCACAAAUGCCAGAAUGUCAGUUCAUUAUUACAAUCCUGGGUUACUUGUUCGCCAAAGAAAGAAAAAACCAGUCCCCUCCUUGUACCGCUUUCUGGGUGCAAUGUGCGCUUUUAUUGACAAGCUGCAAGUCUGAGAAUUGCAUACGAGCAUGAAUAUUAAUCUGUCAUCAAUUGUUGUAAAUUCGAGGCUAUAGCAAAAGGCGUAAAAAGUGUUUUAUUUAAAAAAAAUAAAAUAAAAUUUGGCGUUCUCAUGUACAAUGAUUCUGUUAAGUACAAAAAUACAUCUGAAGCAUUACUUUCUCUUCCAAAAGAAAGAAAGAAAAAGAUAAAAAAUAUACAAGAAAAGUGAACAUAAACUCAUGACUCUGUUUAAAAAAAAAAAAGCAAAAACACAAAAUUCCAGCUCUGCUUUUGCUCUGGACCAGAAAAGCACAUAAAUUUAGGCUACAACGAAGUUGCCAUUGACUUGGACCCGGUCUUUAGGUGUUGUAUUCCAUAUGCGGCUGUUGAACCGACAGUUGUUAGAGCAACCAACCAACUGAGAAGCAUGCCAUGUGUUAUUCCGGUGUAAAAUGACACAAUUCUACUACAUGAAAUGCCAAACUACUUCCCCAAAGUAAAGUACCUCAGAUAUGUAAUGUAUGACUGUGUUUCCUCGCUACCAAAUUCUGGUUGCAGAAGAGCUGCAGCAACUAGGACCAAUUGGAGAACUGUGUUCAACUGUCAACAUAUAUAUCAGAACUUAGCUAAAAAGAAAUAAAAUUUAUAUUUAGGAUGAAUCAAGUGAGCAAUAUACAGCUGAUCCAAUACAGUCAUCCUAACAAUUUCCCGCACGUCCUCUCAUGAUAUUAGUGUGCUAAGUAAUCACUAGAAGCAGAUCCCGACUCAGUUAGCUUCCUCUUUUCUUUUUUCCCUGCUUAAAAUGACCUUGGUUUGCCACUGAAAACAACUUACUAACAUGCAGAUAGAGAUUUCAUCUUUUAGUUAUGAGAAACCCAUCCUUCCCUCUUCCUAUCUCUUCUUGGCACAUUUAAAGAGGACAUGAAGAAGCAUAUCAAACUGCUCUCACUAAAUUGAUGGAUUUCUGAUUAUUGUGCUGCAUCUUUUUCACCAAGUACCCAGGCCUGAGAAAAUGAACAUACCUUGCUUAUCAAGAGAGGUUCAACUUUCUCAGGGCAAGUCCCAUCAAGGUUGAAGAAAUCAAACCAACUCUUCCACUGUUACAAGAAUUUAACUCAAUAGUGUCAAGCAAAGAUAGAGCAGCUUAGUCAUAAAGAGCUUCAGGUAGAUCUCCCUCACCUGCCAUUGCAAACUGCUAGCUCUUUUAUAGACUGCCCCGCCAACAAGGGCAACAUCACGCAACACAACAAGCGCAACAAGUCCGGCUACAAAAGAUAAAAGACCAAUUGAAUAAGUUUCUAAAGAAAGGAUGAUAUUAUCUUCAAAAAUUUAAUUUUAAUCCUAGAAAUUUCUCUUGUAUCAGUUGGCCAUAUAACUGGCAGACUUGCAUAAAUAUAUCUUUGACAAAGUUUCUAGCUCAAAAGGUGGACAUCUCUUUUGUAAAGAAAAUUAACAUCACACAAAGGGGAAUAUCUGACAUACAAUUAUUUGGUACUAAGUAUACAGAAAAUAAAUUACUAAUUGUUUUAGAAAAAGAAAAAGAGUAAUUUUUUUGUCACCACACUGUUACUUGCAAUGUUACCAAUGGCAUUAGAUAUUUGAUCAGUAGUUCUUCGAUUUAAAAAAAAUGACAAAAAAGGCACAUACAAGUAGGAAACCAAUUACACACUUACGGUGCAGAAGACCUUUAUAAACCAUGCCCAAAGCAACAGAUCCAAUUAGUACCUGCACCCAUGAAUGCAAUGAAAUACUGAGAAAAAUUACACUAACCAAGUAAUGCUGUGAAAAAGAUGUCACAUUCAUUUAUUAGAAGUGUAAGACAAAAGGAAAACAAUAUUAAAAUUUUUUAAUGUAAUCGGGCAGCCAAGAAAAAGUUGAUUAUUACCUUGUCAGCAAGAGGAUCAAGGUAGGAACCCACCACAGAAUUGAUUCCCAUCUUCCUGGCCAAGUAACCAUCUAGCUACAAAAUUGGAAAAAUUAGAAGAUAUUGGCAUCCAUCCAGCUACAAGGAAGAUUGGAAAACUUAGAAGAUAUUGGCAUCUCCUCGUAUCAAACAUCCAAUAAUGACAAGACUAGAAUUCCCAUACCCAAUCAGUCACACCAGAGAUACCUAGACCAACAAAUGCUGAAAGAUACAUUUCAUGGGUGAUCAUCCUGCAAAGUCAAUUAGAACAAUACUUUAUAAUGGCCAAAUAUACAAGACAAGUUGAAUAAUAGAACUGUUGGUUAAGAGCACAGUUGAAUAACUGAAUGUAGAGGUGACUGAAUAAGCAUCUUACUCCUAUAACACUAUUCCCACAUGCAAUGAUAAGCAAACUAGACUGAAAUACUAUAGUACCAACCCAACACAUCAUAUUUCAACUCUAUUUGCCAAAGCAAAUGCAAACACGCGCACAAAGAGAAGAUAAACCUUUCAAGGAUUCUAGUACAAGCAUGUUUAGGAGAUAAUAAUGGGAUACUCAGUGCUAAAAUUUUGGCUUAAACUGUUAUAUAAUGUUCCUCAAGGCCAUGUGCUAUCAUAAACCUGAUCAAGAAACAAACAAUAAAUAAAAGGGGGAAAAAAGGAGGAAGCAGCAAAACAAAACCCAGUAAUAGAGGAUUACUCACAUAUCCUCAUCGAGGAUCAGUAUUGCAGAAAACAAAGAUCACUAUACUACUUUUGAUUCCUAAUGUAGUAUGCAAAGGUACAUUGUUACUAAACAACCGAUAAAUGUUGUGCAGGUUCAUAAUCCAACAGUCAUUAUUGUCUUUCAAGGUUGCCUGAAGCCUGGACUGCACUAAGAGAUAAAUCCUAAUUUCUUAGAACGACCACUUUCUCAUGUAUGUUUAGCAACUAAAAUCCGACUAAACAAAUUAGCAAGCAGUAAAAUUAUGGACUUUUACAAAUUAAUAUUCUUUACUUCUCCAUCUUGUUCAAUUAUGCUUGGAUACAUCACAGAGAAAAGGUUGUAAUUGAGUUUUACCAUAAAGUUUUCAGCAAAAUGUGGUUUUUCCCCUUCAUUUCACCAUCAAUAUCGAAAGCACGUAAACAUUUUAUAUUUUCCGCAUGAAUCAAAAAACCAACAAACAUAUUAAAUUCAUGAAUUUAAAAAAAGGGCCAAAUUUGAAAAAGAAAUAUACCAUCCAAGCAGUGGGCCGGAGACUAAUCGACCGAAAGAAAUAAAAUUGGGAAGAUUCAAAUAGCUAUCAGUAACUUUGACCAGAGCAUCAGAAUCAGUAUGAUCAAGCUUGGACCCAUUAAAUCCCUCACUAUAUUUCUUCUCCUUGCUGUUUAAAUCCUGAAACCGUAGUUUGUACGUAAUAAUGUUAUUCAGGGCAUAUGGGACCCUGGGUGAAAGAUUGAGCAAGGCGACGUCGCAUUGGAGGUGAAGGGGAGUGGCGGAUUGAGAUAGCUUCCAAGGGGGCGACGAGAGAAAUAGAGGGCCAAAAGUGGACGAAGGGAUAGGAGGGAGAAAAUGGGGCCGAAGAAAAAAUGGGUUUUUGAUAAUGUUACUAUUGGAAUUGUGGGAUAUGUAGGACUGGGAACUGGAGCAGAGGGAGACGAAGGUUCUAGCAGAAGAAGAAACAGAAUUAGGGUUUUGAAGCGGGGAUUUCGUGGAUUGGGAAAUUAGGGUUUUAAGGAUUGAUCGGAAGAAGGCCAUGGCCGAUGAUGGUCAAGCAUUGUUUUUGCAGUUGCAGAAAGGUGGAAGGACAGUUUGGAGGUUAGGGUUUUACAAAGGGUUUUAGAGGAAGAAGAUGACACGUGGCAAGUUUACACGUGUUACAGUCAGAGGAGCGGUUUUCUUUUUUGGUUUGGAAAAAUUUUUCCUUUUUGGGUUUCAUUCUCCUGGCUGUGCUAUUUCAAUUGUGUUAUUUGAGAUACGGCUAAGUAUUUCUAUUUUGAGUAUAUUUCUUGGAGUAAAUAAUGAAGAGAGUAAAAUGCAGUUUUCAAACCCAAAGUCUAACCGUUCAGUAAUUUUGGUACUCAACCAACUAGGAGUAGAUGGCCACCAUGGAGAGAUUUAAAGCUUUUCUUGGAUGUAGAGGAAGAGAUUAUUUGCAUUCUAAAAAAUCUAGAAUUUCCUGAAAAAUUUCGCCAGCAGAUACAUAAACUGAUAGGCACCCGAAUGGGUCUGUGGCGGUUCAAUUUUCUUCGAAUUUCCCGUUUUGAUCCCUUUGGUCCUUCUUUCCCUAGAUAGGAGUAGUUGUAGAAUGGAAUGUAUUGUAUGAAAAAAAAAGAGUAAUUUUGAUACUCAAACUUCACAAAAACAAAUUUGGUAUCUGACGUUAUAAAAUUUAAUCACAAUACACUCAAUGGAAUUCUUCACAUUCAUUCCUACUAGAAAAAAAUACAUGCUGUGUAUGUCAACAAAAUUAUAAACCAAUAUCAAAAAAAUUGGAAAACAACACUCAAACUAGAUUCCAAAGAAAGUUUCAAAACCUAAUAUUGAACGAAAAGAUCCAAAGAAAAACCUUUCUAUAUCUUUGUGACACUUUUGACUUGACUCUCAAUAUUUUUCAAUAUUUUCGAAUAUUUUUAAAAUUUUGCUAACAUACACAUGAUAGGAUGUGACUUUUUCCAAUAGGAAUUUUAAAAAAAAAUUUCCAUCAAGUGAAGUAUGCUUAAAUAUUAUAAUAUUGAGUACCAAAUUUGUUUUGAAAUAUAUUCUCUCUAAAUGAAAAUAUUUUUCUCUCUUUUUUUUUUUGCUUUGUCAACAAAUGUUACUAGGAACUACAUAAGAACAAUCAAAUAAAUUUGAUAGAUGAAGUUAUUGUUGUCCAAUAAAUAUAUGGGUUAUGGUAUGACGGGGUGUGGAUUUAACCCCUCUCGUUCAAAUACGGCAUGUUUCAUAAUUGAAUGAGCAAUUUAUUUAUCAAUGAAAGUAUAGUUUAUGUUGGUUUGGAACACCACAUGAGGUAUUCUUAGGGCUGCAAAUAAACCGAAUCGCUCGCGAAACUCGACUCGAGCUCGAACUCGAGUUCAAAAUAUUAAGCUCGAAUAUAUAUAUAUAUUUUUUAUUUUAAGUAUAUAUAUAUUUUUUAUUUUUUAUUUUAAGUGUAUAUAUAUUUAUUUUAAGUAUAAAAUUACAUAUAUAUCCUUAAUAUUUUAUUAUUUAUUAAGAAAAAAUAUUAUUUUAUUUAUUUUUUUAAAAAUAAAAUAAUUAUUUUUUUAUUUUUUUCGAGUUCGAGCUCGAGCUCGAGCUCAAUAAAAUUAAAUCAAGACUUGGCUCGAUUAGACCAAAACUCGACUCGACUUGACUCGUUUGCAGCCCUAGGUAUCCUUUUCUCUUGGUUGUAUGGGAUUUAGUGAUGAUUUUCCAUAAACGAGAACUGAGAAGCACCCAUUUAUUCUGCUUACCCAUCCAAUGCCAAGAAAGGAUUUAGUCAACUUUGCAAUAACUUGGUCAUAUUCAUACGAUAUAUCUAUAAUAGGAAAAAUUCUUCAAAACAUCCCUUAGAUUUCGUCAAAUAAAUUUUUUUUGUCUUUUAUUUUUAAAAUAAUAAUUUUCCAUCCCUUAUAGAAUCAAGUUGAUAAAAUUCGGCCCAACUUAAGUUUUCAACCAACUUUUAUUUUGAACCCACUCACACAUGAUCAUUUUUUCAGAGGCAAAAAGGUUUUAUCUCAUAUAUAAUUAAAUAAAUGGUUUAAUCCGUUGGUAUUUUUAACCCUAAAAAAGUAGGAUAUAACCCAACUUAUAUUCAUUUUUUUUCUAAAAAAUUGAGAUCUGACCUAAUCCAUAUUCAUUUUGCCACUAAAAAAUUGGGAUGUGAUGUGACCUUUUUGUACAUGAAAAAUGACUGCAAGCUGGUCUGUAGUAAUUUUAGGCUCAAAAGCGAUCGAAAAUUUAGAAUGGGAUCAAAUUUUGCUAAUUUGAAUUUUUAAGGGACAUAAAGUUAAUAUUUUAAAAAUAAAGGUUAAAAAAAAUCAUUUGACAAAAUAUGAGGGAGGUUUUCAACAAUUUCCAUUUAUAAUAUUCUCGUUUAUAAUAUUCCGCUUAUAAUAUUCUCGUACUUCUCUACCCAAGACUUUAACGAAUAUAACGGGCUUCCAAGUCAUUAGCUGCCUGAAAGUAGUUACUUCCACGACCCCAAUUGAGUUUCUUACCAAAUCUUCUUCCAACACUUUUUUUUUUCUUUCUUUUUUCCUGUGAAUGAACAACCUUCUUUAAGUUCAAAAACAAUACAUUCUUUAGCUUUCUUUUUCCUUUAUGAUGCCAGCUUGUAUUUAAUUAAUCUGAAAAUAUCCUUCGGCUCCGAGGAGAUAUUGAAACAUUACCUGGCAUUGUCAAUAAAUGAAAGAGAAAGAUGGAAAGAUACCACAUUUUAUGAUUGUUUUCGAACCUGAGAAGGUUUGUUGGGAAAAUCAAAAGGAGGGGUGUGGAAGGAGAUGAGAUUAUUGGCCUGUUGCACAAUGCAGCGCAGCACCACAAUGAGGAAGGCACCUUUGAAAGCAUCUAAGAGUUCUAUCAACGACGUGAAGAUCUCCAAGAAAUAUGAUGACUCUGAUGCAUUGUCCACCAUUGUCAGAAGUGUUUCUCUGAAUACAGGUUACCCCAGCCAAACAAUAUUUCAUCUCUUGUCUUUCAUUUUCGAGCUUUUUUUUUCCCCUUUUUGUUUGGCGAUUUAUGUAUCUGAUAGGUUUAAUCUAUACAAAGUAUGUGCAUUUUACACCUGAACAUGGUUUUUGCAAGUGUGCAGAAAAUGUCAAAUGUUACUUUGUGCUCCAGCAUUCUUAACAGACUUAAUAAUGUUUGAUCAAUCCUCUUUUUUGACGUUAAGGCUUGUAGGAAAUAACUGAAUGCAUUAAAAUUGAUCACCUUGUUAAGAACAAGAAGAUUUCAACACAAUUUCCUCACCACACUAGAUUCUUCUUCCCAAAUGCACAAGCGCAAGCCUUUGCAACAUAGAGAUUAUGAGAUUGCAGGAAUAUAAGCUGAUUGUCUUGUUGCUUAAGAUUUAUCUUGUUAUAACCCGUAUUAUACACACGGGUGUGAUGAUCUAUACAGGCCCUAGUAAACAAAGAACAGUAGCUGAGGACAUACUUCGUUAUGGACAUGUUAAAGUUGCAGCAGAGGUAUUCACAUUUCGCGAACUCGCAGCUGCAACGGACAAUUUCAAUUCUGAACUACUGGUGGGAGAAGGAGGAUUUGGAAGGGUCUAUAUGGGACGCCUCAAGAAAACCGAUCAAGUAUCUCUCUCUCUCUCUGUCUCUCUCUCUCUCUCUCACACACACACACACAUAUUUGAAGUAUCAUGACCAUCCUUGUUCCCAUUUAAAGGUUGUUGCAGUCAAGCAACUUGACAGGAAUGGAUUUCAAGGAAAUAGGGAGUUUCUAGCAGAAGUUCUGACACUAAGCCUUGUUCACCACCCAAACCUCGUAAAUCUCAUAGGGUAUUGUGCUGAUGGCCGCCAAAGAAUUUUGGUCUACGAGUACAUGCGUAAUGGAUCACUAGAAGAUCACCUCUUUGGUAAGCACAAUAUUAAGUUCGGGGACAGCGACAUUUCCCAUGGAGAAUGAUCCCAAGAAGCAGUAUCAAUUAUUUGUCAAAACAUACAUUAUUGUUUUGGUUUUAUCCUUCGACAACAUGCUAAUUGGUCAAUAGUAUAAAGAUUGUUUGUGCUUUAUGUCUUACAUUACAUUCUAAUGAUGUUAUCUGUUUUUCAGAUAUUCCUCCACAUAAGAAGCCUCUAGAUUGGUUUACUCGGAUGAAAAUAGCUAAAGGUGCAGCACAAGGACUCGAGUACUUGCACGACACAGCCAACCCACAAAUCAUCUAUCGCGAUCUAAAAGCAUCUAACAUCUUAUUAGAUGAUGAGUUUAAUCCUAAGCUCUCUGAUUUUGGACUUGCUAAGUUAGGUCCAACAGGAGACAAAGAUCAUGUCUCCACCAGGGUAAUGGGGACCUAUGGCUACUGUGCUCCAGAGUAUGCAAUGACAGGCCAACUGACGACGAAAUCUGACAUCUAUAGUUUUGGGGUGGUCUUGUUGGAGAUCAUCACAGGAAGGAGAGCUAUCGAUAAUACAAGGCCUACAGCAGAGCAGAACCUGAUUUCUUGGGUUAGUUUCUGGAUUUGCUAUUUUUGAAUUGACUAAAGAAGCUUCGGCACUUAUUUCUAUAACUUAAAGAACCAGUAACCAAGCCAUCUUUCGUUCUGAGAUACCUUAAUGUUCAUUUGGAUAAUUGGAUGCAAGAUUUUUUUGGGUUCAGUAUUCUGCACUAACAAUUUGAAAGUCAAAAGGCAAAUAUUCUACACGUCUGUCUGCAGGAGUAAUCAUGUCAAUUGGAGUAAUAGCUAUACUAUACUAUGGUACUGAACAAGAAACGUUUCAAUAUAGUUUAUUUGUAUAAAUUUUUAUUGUCAUGUUGAAUACAUGUGCAAGGCAGGUGCAUUUUCCUAGUUCAUGUAAAAUGGGGUAAUAGCUAUACUAUGGUACUUACCAAGAAAUGUUUCCCAACAAUGUAGUUGGUUUUAACAUUCUUUGAUUGUCAUUUAGUUUGCCCAUGAUUUUGUUCUCAUUCUUGCAGGCAAAACCUUAUUUUAAAGAUAGAAGACAAUUUACAUUCCUGGCUGACCCUUUGCUGGAAGGGGAUUACCCUGUAAAGUGUCUUCAUCAAGCUGUUGCUGUUGCGGCUAUGUGCCUCCAAGAUGAAGCUAGCACCAGGCCUUUCAUUGGCGAUGUUGUUACUGCUCUCGAGUAUCUAGCCAUGAGCACAGAUGAAAGCUUCAGCGACGAAGAAGAAGCGAUAGAUUUUCAGUAGACAUAGAAAAUCAUUUGCUGACACUCAUAGAGUCAGAAAAUUAAAUGAGGCCAUAGACAUUCCUAUCCCAUUGAGAAGGUAUCCUUAUAUGAGAAGGUAUCCUUAAUUGACCUAUCCCAUUUUGCAUUUGACAGGAAGAAAAAAGGAAAAAGAGAGAAACAGGAAGAAGAAAAAUGGUAAUUGACGACUUUUGGGAAGUCACAAGUUGUAUAGUACCCUCAAAGGAGGGGGUUAAGAGUGUUUCUAGCCAUUGAGAGACAAAGUAUUAAACAGUUCCCUGUUAUGAAGUCUGUAGGUUAUCAUCUUAUCUGUCAAAAGAUUAGCUAAUGGUUGCUCUAUUUGCAUUGAUGCUUCAGUAUCCUCAUUAGAUAUAAGCACAUGUACCUCAGUACAUUGACAUUUGAACAUUAAAAAGCACAUUUUCUUGAAUCUUCCACCUGCAACCUAUAUCUGUUACUUCACAUAAAGGAAUCCGAACUGGUAAGUUUCUAAAUUCAAUGCAGCAUAAUGUGCCUGCUACAGAACCUUAUACAUGAUCACUUAAACACCUGAAUACAUAAAAAUUCAGAACACAACAAUGUAGUUGUAUUUGUUUGAAAUAAGCCUGGAAACAGUUGUAGGAUAUCAUGCUUUUAACCUUGGAAAUGUGCAGCUUGACAAGCAGAAAUUACACUAGUUAAAUGGAGUUACCCGUGACUGCAUAAACAUGUUUACAUUCAAUUGAUACUUCUAAGUUCCUGUCUAGCGUACAACUAAAUAUCAAAUUACAUGAAGAAAGGGGACAUGAACCAAGUACAUGGUCAAUAUAAAAGUAAUCUUCUCUUUGAUGAACCAAGAGAAAGAAAAAGAGACAGAAAAGGUCCUCUUAGCUAGAGGCAGUGAGGAUCUUGAGGUAGCACUAUUUGGGAUCAGUGCCUUCAGACUCGGAUGGCCAAGCAACAACUGAUCUGGCUUUUGUUAAAGACCACAAAAACCAAUUGCAUAUGUGACAAAUUCCUAAACAGGGACACCAUGUACAAGUGUACAACCAAUUGCCCUCUUCCUGUAAAGGUCCUCAAUCUUUAAGGGAAGCUGUUAUGAGAAAGUAAACGUCAUACAUGAUCCUCAUACCUGCGGAAGGUACUACUCAUCAAUAAAAACAUACCAAGUGAAGUACUUCAGCACGGUACCAUACCAGUGGCUGGAGGUUCAUUACCUGAGGAAUUAUACUGAAGCAUGAAAAAGUUGAGAUAAAGGAACUGAAUCACAGUUUCUGAUAUUCACAGGCAACUUUUUGACGUGUAUCAUUUAAUUUUGAUGCUAAAUAAACAUGGAAAAUCAGGUCCCAUAAGAUAGGAAGUCCAUGAGAAAGAUAGAAUGUUAUCUGAAAACUUUCUCCUGCCUAACAACCUUAUGAAGCAUCAAACUAAUGCUCCAUAAGACUAUGGUACUAGACCUCAAACUCCUUCAUAUCAGCUCUGAGAUUUCUAUAACUGAACCGAGGAAAUUCACCCAAUCGAUGGCUGUCGGAUACUUCCACCAUUGAGCACAUGCCUGGUCGCACACCAGAACCUGUACCUCCUCUUCUUUUCUUCCUCCUCCAUGUCAAAUUCAAGAACCUGAAACUAGGCCAGGAUUUAAUUCCAGUGGAUGUGAAGUCCUGGACAUGUCUCUGAGGUUGUACAGAGCUUCCACAGCAGUCUACUUCCAGUCUUCGGAAAUACUCAAUCUCCUUCUUGAGAAGUGAUCCAACCGUCCCCCUUGUGCCAACUUCAACUGGAGCACCUGUACCCAUUUGUUCAGGCAACUUGCUAGUUAUGUUGCUGACACUAUAUAUCGUUUGUCUGUACACUGCCAUGGCACCAAAGAAUUGGUAUGGAAGAAAGGUUGUUUGAAGCCUUUUAGGUCCUUGUCUUUGAUGAAAGUGUGCUUUUAAGUUUGGAUCACCUCAUCUUUGAUUUGCUUUACUACAUGCUUUAUCCAAAGUGGACAGCAUGGGAAGUAUGAUUAUAAAAGCAGCAGUGGGAAUAUGAUCAUCAUAUAUGUUUGCAAUCAAAGCAAAUAAAAAGUCCUAACUGUUCCCCCUUUUUGACUUCUUGAUCAUGCAAUUGCUUGCAUAUGUAACACACCCUUCAUCAUGAUCAAGGUUCUUUCACUAUUUUUUUCCCCUCUCAAUGGGAGUAGUAGUUCAAGUCUCCAAUGUUCAUUUUCUCCUUUUUUUCUUCACAUAAUCGCAUUUUCUAAGAAUUGAGCCUGUAGCAACUGUUACCGGUUAGUCAAGAACUUUUAAUGCCAGGAAUCAAACGUGGUGUGUGAAACAGGCCUAAAUUGCCAUUGUCAAUAGGCAGUUAAGAAGGAUAAUGACCGCUUUAGCACCGUACGAAUGCACUCAAAUGGUUCACUUGGGAUGUAGAAUGAUUACUUGCGAAUUGCCAUCAAUUGCUCGAUCUUUUGAGUGCUUGUUUGGACGGACUGAGUCGUUAGAAACCAUAAAUACGCAUCAGGCAUUUCAUUUUGUUUAUCAAAUUGAAAAUGUUUAUAUGCGUGUGGGGUUCUUCUUGCUUUUCUUUCCACUUUUACUAAUGGCGGAUUCUUAAAGUGGAAUUGUUGUUGAACGGUUUCAACAUAAUCUGCUUCAAUACAAAAAUUUGCAGCUUCAGGCCACUAAUUGAUGGAAUCCAGUUUUGGUGGUGGAAUAGUUCAGCUAGUCUGCUUCCAUGGUUGAACAAAAGCAUGCUUGCACAUUGGUGGUAUCUAACAAGAAAACUGUAUGGGUUACUUACUCUGGUACAUAUCGCUGAUUGAAAAGUCAGAAACCACUAAAUAUAUCACCUCCAUCUUCAAAUCCAUCAUUUGCUGGGAGUCGUACACAUUAGACUAUCUAUCAGAUCAUCGGAGGCAGGUAGAAAGGCAUUCCUAUCUAAGAAAACAUUGACGGCGUACAUAUAUAUGUUCCAAAUUUGCAAAAUUAACAAUCGGCUGCUUACGUUUCAAUUGUACAAUACUCCUCUAAACACCAAUGUGAAUUUGUGCAAUUUGUCCACCAUUUAACAGCAGAAGUGAGAUAAUACACAAGGUACUGGAAACUGAAACAUGGUGAAAUAGAAGAUCGGUAAGUAUGGAAAUGGCAUGGCAUUGAGUCGGAAUAUAUUCAUUCUUCAGCGGUGACAGAGAGAGAUAAAUAUAUGAACUUGCAUUUCUACUCUUGCCUUCAAAUGUAUAAAACAAAAACAAGACAUUAAAGUUUGAAUUAACUUUCAAUAAAGCCCACGUUUUGACUAAGCCCUAAUCCCCGGACAAGAAUAUUAUGCAAGCAACACCCUCGACAGUUGACAGUUUUAUUGUUGGAAAAACCAAGAAUUUCCAUUCACAAUCAUAUUCAAUUGCCUUUGUUGCAUGGCUUCCAUGACAUGGUGGCUUCCCAGAAUUUAUAAUUUAACCGUGGACAUGAGAAUAUGACUUCAAUUAUCUAAAGAACAAUUUUGUAAAGAAUUUGAUGGCAGCAUGAAUCAUUUUUGAUGCCCCUAAAGAAUAUGCAGUAUUACAAUUUUCUGCUCUACAAUCAAAACACAGAAACGAUAUCAGAAGUUUAUCUGUCCAGGAAAACAAGAACAUCGCAUAAAAAUAAUAUAACCAACUUAAAACCAACAACAUCUCAAGAAAUUAGCGCAUUGCAAUGUAAUGCUCUUGAUAAAACUGAAAGAUGCUUUAUUCAAAUAGUUAUCAAAUAAAUUACAAGCCUCAAACUUGAAGAGCUUGCGCUCUCUCCUUUACUUUUUCCAUUUUUUCCCUAACCCCCAUUGUUGUUUUUUACUCUUUCAAAUUUUUUUUAUCCAAUUUUCCUUUAUUUGGAUUUACAUUUUCACGUAUAAUAUAGGAUUUUCUCAAUAUCAUCUCGUAUGUACUUUACAGUCUACACUGAAAAAAUGAUGCACAUACCUCGGCAAGGCAAGAGCAUGCUGCUGUCAAAGACCAUUCAACUUGCACCUCUUUAGUCAGAAAAAGUUAAAAUGGCUGGAUCACAUUAUACUGGGAAGGUGGCAUGAAUAUCUGAGGCUGCGAUGCAAGGCAAGAGCAUUUUGUAAGGCUACAUCUACUCUUGAACCACUCUGAAACAGUGAGUCAUACAACUGGCAGACAAACUGAGACAAUUCCUCCUCAUCAUCAUCCCAGUAAUAAUGUGAAGGUGCUCCGUUUUUUUCAGGUUCACUGUCUUCCCAGUCACUUAUUGGACUGGCAGGUUCCAUGUCUUCAUCUUCUGCUUCUUCAUCUCCAAUCUCAAACUUCCCAUUCUCUACAGCAUUAAAUUCACCAGACCCCUGGAAUGUUGCCAACUGUGUUUCUUCAGGUUCAGCAGAAGGGCAUAUGACUGCUUUAGCACCAGAAUCAAGAAGUGAUUUGAUCAAAGCCUGGGUAGGCCCGUAGAUGCCAGUGAAGAUUAUAAUCCUAUCCCUCCAAGCCCCAACCUGGGUGUCAAUACAAAGCAAGAGAAUUGGUCUCGACAACAGACAUGCUAAAUGAAUCACAAGUAUCCAAAUAUCUAAUAUGCUACCAACUUGAAAGGCCGAUAUGCAAAUCCCAAAAUUUAGGGAACAUAAUAACAGGCUGAGAAUGUCAUUAGGGUAAACAUAACUAUUCUCUUCCAGAGGAUAGAGUUUCCCAGACAUUUAUAUUUUCAAAAGAUUAGCAAAAGCAGUAUUAAAAUCUGAACCAAAGUAUACUCAGACACUUUUCUUUUAAACCUUUUUCCACCGUUUCCCUAAAUCAACAAUUUAAGUGGGUAAAAAUUGCUAAGGAAACUGCACAAAAUGAUUCUGAAUGCUGAAGCACUUGUAAAAAUACCAAAACUACAACUUUGGGGCAAUUUACACAACCUCGCUUACUAAAAGUACCUUGACAGACAAAAGUAUCAAGGGAAAAGGAAGACAAAGAGGAGUAGAAUGAAGAAGAGGUUAAGGGGAUUGAUAGAACAAUGAAUCAUUGAGGCAUAAACUCUUUGUUUUUAAAAACCACACUGAUUUACUUAGUUUAAUAGUAUCAAAUGCCAGUUUUGAGUAACCACUAUUUUACCGAAUCAUAGGAUGGUUUCUCUAGAAUUCAUUAAGAAUGGAAAGCCAAAUGAAAGCAGAUGUAAACUAGGCCACACCAUCAGACGAACAUCUUCUGGAGUUAAGUGAACAGAAGGAACAGUCCUACGGAACAUAUAUGCAGCAAUUUCUCGAUCAUCUUCCAUAACCUUCAGAAUAUUCCAAAAGGAAAUCAGAUUAGUAAUAGUCAGUUAGUGAAACUAAAUUAAGUACAAAAAGGAAAAAUAGAAAUAACACAAAAAGGAAAUCAGAUUAGCAUACUUGUGUUUGUCUUCCAAUAUAUCGAUGAACAACACCUCCAAUUUGGAAGUAGGGCCUACACGAAACCAGGUCAGAAAUUGUAGAAAUGUCUGUGAUAAUUGAUGCAUUCUUCCUACGUCGUCCUCGAAACAUUGCCAGUAGGCUAUAUUUUACAGUCUGCAGAAAUUUUUCUGCUAGUUCUCCCGGCUCAGCAACCACAAACACUUCAUUCUGCCAACUAUAUUGGGAAAAGAAAGGAAAAAAAAAAAAGACGCUUAAGUAAAAAUGAAACAGCAUUCACAUGUUUUGUCGGUAGAAGAUGAUGAUGCAAAUGUUACCUUAAUAUGGACCCAUAUAUAUCAUUUUGCAGAGCCAAAUGUAUCAGUCCAACUUGAGAAGAAUUCCUUAGUUUGUCAUGCAGUGAAAGGACAGGUAAAGUCAAUUGCCUGCGUCUGGCAGGAGAGUCAGGCGGUGAAGCAGUUGUUUUUGCAGAUUGGGAUCCAUCCAAGCUUAAAGGAGGAACCAAAUCAAUCCGGCCAACCCUCUGAUACCCAAAAUCUGGACUGUAGAACGGGGGGCUUGAUGGGAAGCUCCCAGUAAACAAAGGUGAUGUAAAUGGUGUUGGGAAUGUAGACCCUGCAGUUGCUCUGAGGGUGCCUGAUAUAUCAUUCACUAGAGAUAGCUUUAUUCCAGAGCGACCACAAAACGUCUCAAGUGAGCGUGCAUGAUGAAAAACUCUUCCAGAAUCUGGACUGUUAGAAGCCUCAACAAGAAGCACGGCUUGUCUCCAGCCUAUAGAGGGGCUGUUGUCAUCUAGCACUGCCAACACACAAGACUUCAAAGCUAAGGACAAUAAACAUCAAAAUAGAAUCAAACCUCUGAGUAGACAACAAUAAGAAUUCAGCACAUAUACCAGAUUUUAAACCUUUCGCUUUAACAAACUGCUGAGACUUUAGACUAUCUGGAAAUUUUUCAUCAUGUGAAUUCUCCAGCAAACUCUCACAUACAGUUCUAAAUGACAUAGAGUUCUUCUUGAUGUAAUCAUCUGUGGCAGCCUCCAAUCUCAACCAAACCGUUGGAUCAGUCUCAUCUAGCUCCAUCUCACAACGCUCAUCGACUGCCAUUGCAAACAAAGAAAAUCUCGGUUGAUAAAUAAUCUAGAAGUUAAAAAUAACAUUAUGCAAACAUUCAGCACUAUUAUGAUCAGGCAGCUUGAUUUCUACUCCCCUAGUUUGACAACCCAAACUCAAAAGCAAAAGCAGGAGGAAGAAAUCAAAUCCGAUUUUUUUUUUUUAAAAAAAAACACUCCAAGUGCUUGUCCUACUGGUUUCUUAGAUGCUGAUACAAAACAGAGUAUUUCAAUAACUGUUUGAAAUUCUCCUCGUAAAUUAAAACAUAUAAAAGCUAGCUUUAUAGAUGCAUGCACUUACAUUAGAGGCGCUAUACUUCAAUGUAGCUUUCUGCUCAAUAAAAACUAAAAUUUAGUUUACUUUAAGCCCAAAAAAAACCCUAAAAAAUGCCACAGUUUGGAGUUCAUAAUUAACACAUUUACUAAUAGAUAGAAAUGGUGUACCUGGAUUGAACCGAAAAUAUUGUAUGUCAGGAAGCAUAGUGAGCAACGUGCUUAAAGCUUCCUCCACACGAUCAACUGAGCAUGCACUUUCAAUCAACACCUGACCAGUAUCCAAAUAACGCCAUCCUCCUUUCCGAACCUAGCAUAGCAUGAAAACAGUAGCACAACAAUAACUAAACAAACAAGAUGAAGAAGCAACAAUAAAACAUGUACAUCUCAAACUAUCACAUCAUCUCAGUUAUCUUUAAACACCCAUGCUCGCCCAGCUGCCCACCCUCAUUCCAUCUCUUGAUGGAAAAAAAAAUUGUGUAAAAGAAAGUGAAGAAAAAAUAAGAUGAGAAAAGAAAACUAUUGUAUUUAGGUAAACGAGUUUAAAUUUCUCAGACAAUUGAUUAGGUGAGAAUGACCUAAAGAACAGGCCAUCUGCUCCUAGGUAAUAGCCUCCUGAUAAUUAUAAGCAAAAUAGCAACAAAUGCAAGUGACUUGGAGUUGAAAGUAAUACUGGCCAGCCAAAAAUUCAUGAUCACAAAUAAAUUUCAUAUAAUCUGAUGUACAUGAUAUCUGUGAACCCUUACUGUUACCUUCAAGUCUUUUAACAAAAAUAUUGAUCCAUAAUCAUUUACUGCAUGAAAAAUAAAUUUGGUUUUAAAACAUAGAAUGGAUUUGCAACACCUUUCAGAUAUUAUAACUUCCUAGCACACAUGCUCUUUAACUUACUUGGUUGGGGGAUCUCCUGCAGGGGGUGGGGCAGGGGGAAGGUGGGGUGAUAAAACUAAGUCAAGUCUCCAAAGAAGCUUCAGGAAAAUCGAACUACCUUGGUAGGGACAGAACAACAUCCAAUUGACACUAAGCAAUCAAUUCUAGCAUCUGGCCAUAAUAAUUGUGCUUCUCGUACGGCAAAAAUAGUAGGAUUAUUUGCAACAAUAGCUCCAUCCUGCCAACGGUAAGCACCUAUGAAAACAAGACAAGAAAGAGGAGCUCAGGUGAAGAUGCAGGUGACAAAGCUAGGAAAACCAAACAUAAAAAACGAGAACAAUAUGAGCGGUAACUCAGCAAGAACUGAAACAAAUACCGUCAGAGAAAUCAUCAAGGUAAUAUGGUGCAGCAGAAGAUGCUCUUAUAGCUUGCCAUACGUGGUGCUUACAACUUCCAAGAAAGGCGUUCCUCUUGGAUCCAACUUGGGCUCCAGAUGUUGCUGCUCCAAGGCCACCUGUUGUCAAGUUCUCAGAAAUUGCGGAGGAAAUCUCUGGAGUCCCAGCAGGGUACUGCACUUCAUCACAAAUAAAAAGAGGAAAAUAAAGCAAAACAUAUAAACCCUAACAAGAGACCUACAAAGAAAAUACAGACGUAAAGAUUGAAUAAUAGAUAAUCUCCUCACAAGGCACCUGGUAAUUGCGGAAUAUGAAAGGCUGAGCUGGUGCAACACUGACAAGAGUUGAUACCACAAAUACUUUGGGAACCCGUUUAACAGCUGAUUCUAUCAGAAGAUCUCCAUCCUCAUCAGCACACAUCUCCUUCAAUAAUCGCUCAAACUGAUCUGCACUGUGCUGGAAGAUGAUAAAAGAUAAGUCUCUAGUAUAAAGACAUAAAGGUGAAUGUCAUUCAAAGGGAAAAAAGAAGCACACAAGAAGUCUCCAAAGAGAGAACAAACACUCUCUUAACCAAUAUCACUUACUAAACAUCUCUAGGACAUACAAGAAUGCAAAGGGUAUAAUCAUUUUAUUACUUCUUCAAGAAAAAAAGUACCCCGCAAGGGAAUAUUAGUCAUCUCAACUCCAAAUAAGAGGGGAAACUUUAAACAAAUCAAUAGAAAAAGGAGAAAACUCUGAGAGCACUUUUAAAAGUAAUUCACAUUCUCCUCAAUAUAGGUAAUAGGGGCUAACAUUAUUUCACUGAAGAAAAAGAAAUUGGGUGCAAAAUAGAGCAUUACAUACUUUGGAUCCGUGCACAACAACUCUGAAACUCUGAGAUGAGCUUUUGUAAAGUUGAUCCAAUUUUUCUCUCCAACUUGCUGCUUCAUUGUCCUUCGGAACAGGUUCAGCAAAAACAAGUUUCCCUGGAAAAUGUGGGGAAAAAUAACAUCAUAAGAAGGUAUAGGAACCACAAAGUGGAAUGCCUUUUUAUGCAGAGAGCACACCUAGCUCUUUGUAUAUCUCUUCACAUCUUUCCAAGGACAUCAAUUUAAUUGCAAGAGCAACUGCAAGCAUGCCACCCGUUGAUGUACCACAAAUAAGGUCAAACAGCUCAUGUAUCUGUUUCCCAGUGCCCUUUUCAAUUUCCUUGAGCAUCCUGACAGUUGCCAGACCUUUCAUGCCACCACCAUCCAUGGAAAGGAUACGCAGCCCACGCUUUGGGACUUGCCGGCCUCUAAUAGCACGCCGCAGAACCUCAUUUUCGCCUGAGAUUGCACAAACACGUCUCAUCUUUCUGGAGAUCUAAAGAGAAUUGAUAGCUAAACAUGGAUUUCAACAUUGACAAACCAAGUAUAGCCAAAGCACGAGCUGCAGCUUUAUUCACACGUGGCUCGGAUGCAACUGUCAGUCGUACAAGAAGAUCCCUCAAACUUUCUGAAGUAACGAGUGUAUGCCGAUUCUCCAAGCAGAAAGCUAAAUUUCCCACUGCCAAUAAAGCUAAUGUUUGUACCUGAUCGAUACAAAAAGUCCUUUCAGACAAAUAGUGAAGAUUAAGUUUAAAAAAAAAAAAACACACAAAAAGAAGCUCUAAGAGAAGUAUACCUCCGUAUUUCUAUGGGCGCAUAAUAAUUUCAAAGAUUUUAGUAUAUCCUUAGUCAACAUUUUCUGAGCCACAAUAUCAGACGUAAAAGCCAACUUAACCACAACUUGCAGCACAGAUAUUACUUCUUCUUGACUGGCAGAUUUCAGCACUCCUUCAAUUGGUUGCAUGAUGUCAGUCUUUAUCAACUGCAUUGCCACAGAAACAUCUGAAGCAAGAGAUGAAAGAGCAGAACAAGCUUGCUCAACCUGCGAAGAAAGCACGAAUAAUUAGACCUCACACCUGAUGUGAAAUUAAGACAAAGACAGACAACAAAUUGAGUAACAAACCACGUGUUGAUUGUCGCUACUUAUCAUACUUAUGAGCUGCCGCACUGCAUUCUCAUCUUUCCCAACGACAACCCGAUUUCCCUCAUCUUGCAUUAUCUUUGCCAGAGCAGAUGCAAGCAAAGGGUGAUGACAAGAAGAAAACCGGAAUAUGAGAGAAAAGAAGGCACUCAGUUUAUGCCGAGAUGCAACAAAGUAAGAACUGUUCUCCAUCUGGAAGAAUCAGAGAAGAAAAGGAGUACUUAGCACUGAUAGUAGAACACCAAAAAAUGGGAAUAGAUAAUUGUCUAAUACCUCUAUCUGCACAUUCAAUGAUCUAAGAUUGUCAUCUGCAACAAUCCUGAUAUUUGCAAGAGACAAAUGACGAAGUUUAUGCAAUGGUAAGAUAUCAGGGAGGAACUCCAUUGGAUUUCCAAAUAGCCUUAGAACCCGCAACUCAGCCAUAGACCUGUCAUAAGCUGGAAAUGAAUUAGGCCUCAAGGACAAUAAUUAUAACCAAAUUCAGGCAUAAGCAGGUAUAAAUCUUCAACCAGUGAUAAAGGUAGCUUCAAUGACCUGAAAUCAAGAAGAGGCCGGACCAAUUUGUUGUGUUCCAGAGACAAUUCAAGUAAUCCAUCACAUUGCCUUAGUUCAGCUGUAACAAUAUCAUAUCAAGACGAGCCAGAAAAUACCAUGGUCACAACAACAGAUGAAAUAAGCAUAUAUCUUUGAUUUAGUUCAAUUAAUAACAUAAAAUACAGUCACAAGUAACAUCCCUGGAGAUGAUACGAGAUAUGUAAUCAACAUUGUAUGCAACAUAUAAUUGGAUCUUACCAGGAACAGAGGCCAGCAGGUUGAAGUCAACUGCAAGAACUUUCAAGUUUUUUAGCCCACCAAGCUCAGGUGGCAAAGUUAAUAGCUUGUUGUUAUCAAGAUAUAGCUUCUCAAGUAGUGGCAGUUGGGUUACCUCCACAGGCAAGACCUGUAAUAGCAACAACAGAUUGUAAAGAAUUAGUAAACCUCUAAAAACUAAAUUAAAUUAAAUAAAAUCCCAGCCCCCUGCGAACAACCUCUAAAAACUAAAUUAAAAGAGAGAGAGAGAGAGAGAGAGAGAGAGAGAGAGAGAGAGAUUCUGUCUUCAUUAACAUCCUCAAACCAUAAAGUACCAAAGUCAUCUUGCUACUCCUGAUUAGCUUAAACCAACCUCCAUGAGAAUAAUAGAAAAUCUUCUCCUCUAUGCUACUGCUUCUUAACAAAUUCAAAGGAGGCAUUCUUGCGAAUAUUUGACACUGGACCAGUAAUAAAGUGGGGAACAUUGGGCUACCAAUAGCUAUUGUCAUGAACAGUUUUGCCACCCUAUAACUUCUACUAAUAUAAACAGUCAUAAGUUCAUCAAAGAGAAAAUCAUAGAACAAUAAGUAAAUCUUCCAUCUUUUUUUUUUCCUGUAUGUCCCCUACUACAACGAUUAUAGUACGAAGAACCAUACGAAUCACACUGUGAUAAUUUUUCUGUUCAUCUCUCCCAUUUUUUCUGUUCCAGUUGGUGGCAAAUGCAGAAUACUCUAUAAACCAUAUUGGCUUUAAGGAAAGAAAAGGCAAAAGUAGACAUUGCAUUUGCAUCUUAUAAAACUGAAGAACACCACAAAAUCUAUCAUCAAAAGAAUACCAUAUGAAAUGAAUACUCACUGAUAAUCCCAGACCACAGAGACUGACCAAAGUGACACUCUUCCAAUGCUCAGCACACCCUACGACAGCCCCAACCCCAGCUCCGUGCCCUGCUCCAGCCCCCUCCGCAGCCGCACCUCCACCUCCAACCCCAUUCGCAAAAUUUGACCUCAUCAGCCUCACAAAAACUCCCAUCCCAUCACUCUGCUGGCCCGAUCCCCCAACUCUCCACAUUAUAACCCCCUUCAACGGCUCCCUCCUCUUCACCACCCUCAUCUCCACUCCCACCUCUCCCCCAAAAUCCUCCCCAGCCACGCCGCUGGCCACACUACCCUCCCCACUUUCAACAAUCUCGCCGCCAUUUUCCAAAUUUCUAGGACUCUUCUCCUUCUCGUUCAUUUCAACUUCGACAGUGUCCUGCGGCGACGGCAGCGCGACCAUGACCUGCGACUGGAGCCGGAGAGCGACCUGAUCCUCAUCCUCGCCGGCAGUCCAGUCGAGGUCAACUCGAAACCCGAAUUGCUCAUGAUUAUUUUCCUGUGAAAGCAUUGCAAGGGAUGAGCUGAAUGACGAGGACCCACCCACGCCGGCGGCCGACGACGCCGACGACGAUCGUGAUGACCUUGGGCUGGCGUCAUCCAAUGCGUCAUCGGCGCCGUAGCUUAAGGUGACAUGGAAAGUAUCCGAUGGACGUUUCCAGCCCAACCCCCACGACAUUGUUGAAUUUGGAUUUCCUUUGUUUUCUGUUGGUCAUCAAAUUUUAUUGGACAAAUUCGAUCUGAUUAAAUUUGAACGAAAAUGGUGAUUGACAUAUCAUUUUUCUGUAAACUUUUUAUAGGGUUUUAGAGAAAUCGUUACUCUCUCAUGAGUGUGGAGAGAGAAGAAGAGAGACAAAAUAAUGUGUUUUUUUUUCCCCCCCCAGUUUCAGUAGUGCAGUUUCUCCGAUAAGAGGCGGGUUCAAUGAGCAAGAAGACAACUCAAAAGACGCCGUCGGCUCUCGGCUUGCUUACUUCGUCAAUAAUCCAGAAGUCAGACCAACCAUUUACGACGACGUGUCCUCUGGAAUAUGCACCGACCAAUUAUUUCAUUCUACAUUUUUAUUUUCUUUUUUAAAACAUUUCAUAAUUGUUUUAUUUUAUUUUUGGGAAAAGAGAGUAUACUUUUGCGUUACUUCUAAAGCACUCAUCGGGGAAGGGUCCGAUAUCCAGCUACCUUAAAUCAUCCUUUUGGUUGUUUAAUUGCAUUAAUUCACUCAAUAAUCUUCCACUUGCUUUACUUCAAUACAAAUCCUUAUACUCCUAUAAAAUUGACCAUACCAAUGCCUAUCCUAUGCCCUAAUAAAAAAGUUUGGUUAGGGUUGAUGACCGAAAAUUUUGAUAAAUCAUUUAUUCUGUUCUAGAUAUAAUAUGUUAAUCAAGGAGUCCUCGAUACUCGUAAGAUAGUAAAAAAAUUUAACUAAUUUAUUAGGAUUAAUCUUCUUACACCAGUAACAAGAGUUUAACUAAUUUGUUAGUAUAAUUAAUCUUUCUUACACCGGCGAGAUAUAGAUGCAUCACAUUAUUUUAAUCUAAAUUUGAUACUGAAUUUGAAUACCAAACUUUACAUUACAUAUAUGAUGACGUCCAUUUACAUCCGCUAACAUUAUAUACACUAUCUGUGCAUAAAAUAUUUACCCAAUUUAUUGUGUCAUAUUUUCAAAUGUAAUAUCUCGUGGUGUUUUUAAGUCAAACUGCAAUUUUUCUUUUUUUAAGAUUACAAAGAACCAUGAUACAGGAAAUAAAUAUAAUUAACAAAAAAACCAGCCAACAAAUGAUGCAAAAACAAUUUGUAAUACUUUAAUAUACUGUUGUGUUUUUUAUUGCAAAAACAAAGUGGAAUUGCAUCACUCAUUCGUCAUCUCUUGAGCUAGUUAUCUUGACUAAUUAUGUCAAAAAAAGUUGUCUUGACUAAUUAUAUGUCAGAUGAGCUAAUGGACAGCAUAACGUGUAACUUGAGAUAGAAAUACACCAUGCAGUAUUAGUCCAGCAAAUGCAAAUAUUAAAGAGAAUAGUAUACAUCCCCUGCAAACUUUUGAGAGAGGGCAAAGAGAAUUGUCAACAGAUACUAAAGGGAGGACAAAAGAGAAGAUCUGGAUUUGGAGAAACAUUUUUGACCAAGCAAAGGGGGAGAUGGGAAACUGGAAAGGCAGGGAGCCACAGAGAAAAAGAAAUUUGGCAUGGAAAGGCAAUAAUUGGAAUGACUGUACCAUGGGUACAAAUAAUAAAGAGGUUAGACAUCACAGGAGUAGAUGCAAAAAAAAUACUUCUCUAGAAACAUUCUGGAAACAAAUAUGAAUUUGGGCAACUGUAGAACCUGAAGAGCAGCAACAGUAAAUAAUAACUAAAACAGGAGGGAGGCAUUGCCGAUAAUCAAGCAAAUAACAGCAAUAACACAAAACAAUGCCAGAUAGAUCUCUGCAAUUCUGAGGAACUUUAGAGCAUACUAUCUCCCUAUCCUGUGAAUGGUCUCUGAAUGGUGCCAACAGCAGAUCAUAAAGCUCGUAAACCCUGAUUACGCCUUCAGUUCCUUAGAAACUGAGGCAAAUAUCUCCUUCAGUUCCUCUUUCGCAUCAUUGCCCGCAAAAAUAAAGUUUAUGGCAUCCCUUGCAAGUGUAUGCAUUUCCUUCAUUCCAAGACCUUGAUGAAGUUGAAAAAACUCCAAUCAAAUUCAGAUGAGAGCUAAACAUGAACUCUUAUCACACGUACCAGAACAAGAAUUUGUACAAACCAUAUGCAGAAGCAGCAAGCCUGUACUCGUGUGAUAGGCUAGUAGAAAAUACCCCCAUGUCAUCAGUGCAGAGGCUAACUGGAUGUUCUGAAUUAUACAAAUCAGCUGCAACCAGGAAUCUUAAGGUUAUAUAGGUGAAAGAAGAACAUCCAUUCAAGGGCGAAUUUCUUUUUGAUUUCAAAGAGGAGGAAUUAUAAAAAAAUAGACAUUUCUCAUUUCAUAUUCUAGGCAAAAGUUAAUUUGAGUUCAGAUAACUUUCCAUCUUUAUUCAAGAUAUAAAUUAAAAAAAAAAACAGGAAAGAUAGACGAGUUUAGAAGGCCUACCAAAAUGGUGAACAUCUAACGAUGGGAUUGUUUCUGUUCUGAUGUUCGAUGUCAAACAAAUCUCAACCUGUGGGCAUGCAGUAGAUAAAGUCCAGAAGCUCAGCUAAACGAAUGUACAAUUGCAUCAAAAAUUUAAAUGAGGAUGCCUAAUAUGAGAGAACUUUGAUUUGACUCUUUCCAAUAUGAAAGAACUUUGAUUUGACUCUUUUUUUUUUUCCCAUGAAAGGAUUAUUAAGAUGAGUAACAUGUACACCUUUUUAGAACAACAACAAGAGGACCAAACUUACAAUUUAUUGAACUUAUGAAGUGGGAACAACAAGAUGUGCCCUCUUCAUUUAGUUGGUUAACCAAAAAUAGAAACCAUUGCAGCACUGAAUCUCCUGCUCUUCAAGAAAGAAUUACAUACCGGGAUCUUAAAUGACUUUAAUUUUCUCCAAUGGUCUUCCUCAAAGUAGCAGGCAUGGCCAAUUCUUCCAGGAAGAAAAUCUAGCAUUGCAUGCACUUCCUCUGAAUUCGGUACCUACAAGCACUAAGUUACAAAAACAAGAUACUCAGAAUGACCAGUAAUAGACCAGUAACAAAAGCUAAAGAAAGAGGGACAAGCCAAAUGCACCUCCCCAGAGUGCAGAGUUACAGAAAGUCCUUGCUCUUUGGCAAACUUCAAAGCAGGCAAAAAUGUUUGCCUACGUAUCAAAAAGCGCAAAAAUAUUUUACACCUCUAGGGUGAAUAAUGGAUGAAACAAGAACAUAAUGAUCCAAAAUUAUAUAGCAGAGAGAACUACCAUUCACCAAUUACAGGAUUGCCAGAAAGGUCAAUUCCCACAACUCCUAAAUCCUUCAUUUGUAGAGCAAGCUUAACCUUGAAAAGGCAAAUAAGCAAAGUCAAUACUUGGCUACCGAAAUACAGAUACAUAUCAAAUGUCUGAUACUAUCUCGUUAACAUACUGUUUCCAUUGCAGCCUCCGUUGAUUCACGCCGGUCAAUACUUAGAAGAAGUCUCACACAUAUCUUUUUCCUUCGACUUUCACUAUUUCUAUCAUUAGCAGGAUGAGAAUUUUCAAUAGCUUCCGCAUCUAGUUUAUGAGCAAAAUCAACAUCAACAUUGUUGACGGCCCUUAAACCUUCCACAACAGCUUGCAUGUAUGAUUCUUUGCUCAUCCCUUUUGAAUCGUUUCUCUGUAUCAUUACAAAGAUAACAGUCCUUUACUAAAACAACUAAUGGCCUAUACUCGCAUUGCCUAACUGGUUGACAAGACAAUAAUUUCUGAAAAUAGUUCGAGAAGCAAGAGGACUCCACACCGCCCCUAAUUCGAGUAAUGAAAUACAUAGUAGCAAAGCCCGAUUAACAUAACACAAGUACCUUCGGAGUUGUUCUCAGUUCCAAAUACACGACAUUUUCAGCUGCAAAAUCUUCAACUACCUAUCAGCCAUGACAGGGAAAAAUUUUAUUCCUAAUAUCUGCAGCACAAUCAAAAUGAUCAUCCGAGGGAAUCUUUUAUACCUCCUUAGUAAUUUUUGUAACAGUUUUGUGGUCAGUAGUAAUAAGGUGGAUCAAAUCGAACAACUUGAAAACCUCAACCAGUGAACGAUCAUCUGAAAAUGAUUUAGACUAAGUCAGUUCUGGUCUAUCUCAGAAUAUUCAGGAACCAAAUUUAGAGAUUGCAAAACCAAGUGACAAAAUGGACAUACGUUUUAGGAUGACCUGCUCAAAAUCUGAGAAAACUAUAGUUCCCUUAUCUCCCAAUUCUCUUGCAAGUUCCCUGCCCAUAGAAAUCUCAAACCAAUAGGUGUUAUUUUGAGUCAACACAUAACAACAAAAGAACACAAAAAAAAAAAAAGAGCGAAAAAAAAACUUUCAUUUUCUACUUAAUACCAACAUAGUAGCAAUUAGUCAAAAGUUAUCCAAAAAGCAGUCAACUUUGAGAUGAAUUCAGAGACCAAGUAUGAAGUUAGAUGAAGUGAAGUUAAUAAGCAAAACCCAGGUGCCCUUUUACUUUAAUUAUCAUCAAACAAUCAAAAUCAAGAAACCAACAGCCCGAAAAUUGUAGCAUUCGGAGAGACAGAAAAGGAGCAUACAGCAAAGUGGAGUCCCGGAUGGAGCCAUUAAGAUGUGCGUGUAGUUCAAUCUUUGGCAUAGUUUUCCACCAUUCUUCCAUCUCUUUCUGGUGGGAUGCUUUUUUUUGUUGGUUGUCUUGGGUGAGAGAGAUUUCUGGUUCUUGAUUUGAGCAGGCCUGACGGUUUACUUCAGCGGGUGGAGCACGGUAAAUUCAGGCGUCACAAUUAGCUCUGUUUGUUUGACACUUUCGUCGCGGAAGAAAAAGUGAAGUGAAGUGGAGUGAAAUAAUGGAAAAGAAAAUUAACUUUUUGGCAUGUGCUUGAUUAACAAGAAAAUGAUGCAAAAAAAAAUAUAAAUUUUUAUGUUUGUUUAGCCAGAAAGUCACGAAAAAAAUUAGUGAGUGUGUUCAUUAAUUAGAAAAUAUUUAAUAUUGAACUUCUUUAUUUUUUGUAUUUAAUAUAUGUAAAAACAAGCAAUAGUUAUCAUAGUUUGCAUAUUGGAAGAGUUGUUUACUUAAAAAUUAAUCAGGUUCUUUAACAAUAAGCUUAAGUUUAUGUGUGUGUGUGUGUGUGUAAGUUAUUUCAAAUAUAUAUAUAAACAUAAAAAAAGGAGCUUAAAUGUAAAAGAAAAAAAAUACUAAUGCCAUAUGAAUUCAAUAAAUUACUAAUUCAUUAAUUAUUAAAAUAAGAAUAGCAUGUCUAACUACAAAGCCGGUUUUGAAUUAUAAAUUCUAAAAUACUCUAAUUUAUGUAGAAAUUUAAAGUGGAGAAAAUAUUUUAAAAAAAAGGAAAUUGUUAAAAAAAUCUGAUUAAUUAAAAUUUUCCCGUGACUCACUUUCGUAUCAAUUUUAGUAAGAAAAUUUUAUAAAAAAAAAAAAUGAGCGGUUGCAGGAAAAUUUUAUGUAAUGGAUCCCAUAAACUUGCAGGCAAACAAACGUUCAGAAUUUACGGGAAAGUUAUUUUCUUUCACUUUCCUUCCCUCCUCCUCCUGAAAAACAAACACACAAGAAAUCUACGCGAGUCAAAUUUAUUGGGCCUAUCAACUGGAGCACUUGUAUAAUCGUUGCAGGAAAAGCUCUCAUCUCUUGAACCAAACUUGUCCCAGCAACACACGGUAUUAAAAGCCCAGUUUGAUCGUUCUACAUUUUUGGACUUUGGGCCAAUGUAAGAGAGUUAAUCUUCUUUUUUUUUUUUUUUUUAGAAAACUAAAAUGGCAAUAAUCUUUCUUUUUUUGGUUGAGGAAAAAAAAAUGAAAACAAUCUAACCAAAGCUAUCAUAUGAGGUAAAAUCUUAGGGAUCUCAUGAAUUGCCAUUGGCAAUGUACGCCAAAUCACUUCCGGCGAGCUCGAUUCCGUUUGAAUUGCAUUUUUUUUUUGGAAUUUUGUGAGUUUUUAUAAUGUAAUGUAUGUAAGGUAAAAAUAUAUAUUUGAAAACGUGUUAAGCAAAUAUUUUCACAAAAAACUCAAAAAAAAAAAUUUUUUUCUCACCAAAACUAACUUUACACCAAGAAAGUGCAACUACUUAAUACUUUAGCCCAAGAAAACAUGGGUUGUCUUGCAUCUGUUCCAACCCUGCAGUCAAUCUUCAGAGACAAUCUCCAUAAAUUCGCUGAAGUUUCUGCAGAAAUUGCAGGCUACUGAGGCAUUUACUAUUCAGUAUUGGUGGGCAACAAAGAGCCAUGUGGAUGUUCUCGCUUGUCCCUUAAUGUAAAUGCACAACUGCUACGGUACUAAUAUCUUAUGUUUCAUCAGCCAUGGUGGGGUAGGAAGGACUGAGGGAGGAAAUGCAGCAUCUGUGUAGUUUACUGAGGAGCGCGCAAAACGAGGAAGUUUUUGAGAAUUAACCUAAAGAAUUUUCAGAAGGAUAAUGAUAAUAGUACACCUAAAAAAAAGUCCUGCAUUUCAUCUUUUUUUUUUGCUUUUAAAGGGAGGAUAUCCGCCCCGGGGUCGGCUCGACUAGUGUUGGGGUAGUUUCAUUAGGUCUUGGCACCGUUAGAGCUAUAAUCGAGUCGAGUUCGAGCGAGUAGUAUUGUUAGAACUCGAGCUCGAGUUCGAAGCUUGCUCGCAAUACUCGAGCUAGACUCGUAUGGGUUCGAGUGCAUGCGAGUCUUAUCGAGCUCGGUCAAGUUCGAGUUAUUAAAAUUCAUUUUCUUGAUAAUUUUUAAGCGAAAAGACAUUAUUACCCUUUUAAAAUUUUUAUAUGACUUAAAAUAUUUUGUAAAUUCGACAAUUCUUUUGGGUAUAAGAGUAAUUUUAUAAUAAUAAUAUAUUAAAUAAUUAAAAUUAAAAUGCUCGAUAAGGCUCGUCGAGCCUUCGAGCAUCGCUUUUGAAUGCUCGAACUCGAUUCGAUAACCUUAUCGAGCUGCUCGAAUUCAACUAACCGAGUUCGAGUUAAGCUUAUGAUUGAGCUACUCGCGAGCAGCUCGGUUCGAUUACAUCCUUAGGCACCGUGUGAUCGUGGUUCAAUUUCUCUAUCAUUUGGUGUAUCUUAGAGGCGGAUACACAAAUUCAGGGAGAUUAGUCUGAAAGGAAUACUCUUUGUGAUGACAAAAAACAAAAAGGAGGAUAUCCUAGCGUCACUGGCCGGCUAUCGUAACUUAAGCAACUCGGACUUGUGCGGACCGUGUCACUAGGAAGGAUUGUGACCUCUCGAGUUGAAGAAGUAUUGUCCAGUUACAUUCAAUCAUGUAAUUGCUAUAAUAUUUGGUCUAAAUUUGAGUAUAAGUAUGAAUUUGUUAAUUACUAAGUUAGAAAGAAAAAUCACAAUUACACUAAAAACGUAUAAAGUUAUGCCAAAAAUUACAACAAUCAGACCGAACUGGACAAAAUUUAACGUGAAAGACCCCUAAUCCAUGGGAGGAUAUAUGGAGCGCCAUAUAAUCUUCCUUUUCCAGAAAGGGUAAAUGCAAUUUCUCUGCACUAUCCUCGCUUUCUACUUGCCCCCAACUAUCAACUUUAGCAAUUUAAUAUGUACGUCUGUGACUAUGAAAUUUUGAAACAUUUAAAAUUCAAUGAUUUUUUUUUUUACAAAUUUCUGUUGAAAAUACUUUAGUACUACCUCUAAUUUCAUCCGUUAAUCGAUAUAAAUUCAUUCAUUUAGGGGUAUUUAAGUCUUUUCAUUCAAAAAUCGCUAUCAAAAUUUUUGGACUAUUAAUUGAUUUGAGCAAUGUGCUAUAAAUUCAUGAUAUAAAGUAUUCGGGUGUUACAAUUGAUAGCGGAGAGUAUAGACUGGAAAUUAUUGAAACUUUGGGGAUGCAAAUUGUUAUUGUUCUAACUUAUUUGAAACUAGCAGCAACUCAAGGAGGAAGACUACUUACUAGAACUACAAGUAGCUUUGACAUCUUUUUUCCCUGACGCGAUCCUCUGUCCAUUAUAUAUCUUCAUUUUUUCUGUUCAAUGCAAAACUACAUAGUUUUAUUUAUUAAUAUUGCUGAUGUGGCACAUAACAUUGAGUGCAUAUUUAGGGUUGUUUGAUAAAUGGGUUUUAAAUUCAAUAAUAUCCUAAUUGUACUCAUAGGCUUCUACUUUUGAAUUUCAUGCUGCAUGAUUCAAAUGAGAUUAGGCAAGCAUUUGAGGACGAGAUCUUUGAAUUUGUCAGAGCUGCAGUUACGUGCAGUCAUGUUGAUUCAGAAAGUAGGCCGUCCAUGCUAAAAUUGAAUUUGAAACCCAUUUACCAAACACCCCCUAAAUAUGCAUUCAAUGUUAUGUGCCGCAUGAACAGUAUUAGUAAGUGGAAUUACGUAAUUUUACAUAAAACAAAAAAAAAAUGGACAGAUAUAAUGGACAGAGGAUCCCGCCUGCUCUUUUCCCUUUUUCCUACUAAAUUUGCUCUUGCCGACUACUUAUAUUUAUUAAAUUGAAUAAUCUGCGGCCUCUUCGGGCAAAAUUUUGCCCCUUUAUUCAGGAUUAUGGUACAUAUGAAUAUAUAUGAUAUGAUUUUUUCUAUUCCCCAAGGACACAUAAUAAGAACACACCCAAAAAAAGAAAACAAAAGUGAACUCAGCAUUAAAGCUUUAUUACCACCCACCCUCCCAAAUUAUAACUCUUUCUUGGAAGAAAUUUGCCUUUUUGUACAGACAAAAUAACACUGAUACUUUCUUAUUGUGUGACUUUUGGCACUGGAUACUGCAGAGACGAGCCUAUAGUAUCAUAAGUUAUCUAUGCUUACUUAUAGUGUAGCCUGAGUGACCAAGCUAUGCUUGCUUAUAAAACACUUCAUUAUUGGCCGAGUAUUCAAGUCUUUUCCUCAUAAAUGCACUCUACUAAGAAGCUGCAAUUUCUGCGCAAGAACCCCAGCAAAUCCUUCAGCGAAGCCAGUUGAAGUGAAAAAAAACAUGCAGAAUACAGAUAACGAUGGACGUGGACGACACCCAUACGGCUGGAACUCAAAAUUUGCAGCUUCGAUAGCCAGUAGCAGCAGUACACAUAGCAUUCCUUGCAAAAGCCAAUAUAUGAUUAUGAUAUGUAUUUAUCUUAGACCAAGAUUUCCGCAAUACAAAUCAACCAGAGCCAGAAAAUUGCCCCAUCAUGUUCCGUUCAGAAUUCUCAUUCCACCAGAAAAGCAUUGAGCAAAAUAAUAUGCUGAUAAUGCCAAGUAAUAUAUAUACUGUGGCCAUAACUCACUAUCAUACGGCCCAUACCAGCUUGUAAGAGGUGAUACCAUUUGCAUUAACUGUGUUUCAACUGCCUUGUAUCCCACACUUUGCUGUCAAUUGUCGGUUUGUAACAAAUGCCAUACCUGCCGGAGCAGUGUGAAGUUAUACGUAUUCAUUUUACUGAGCCACCAAGUUCUACCAAAUGUAUAGUAACUAAAUGCGUUUGUUUCAUUCGCGCGUAUUAAAUAGCGAAACAAACAGAUUUAGAUCCUGUUUGAUAAUGCGAUUCAUCACUUAAGUUCGAUGAUUCAGAUUUUAACAUAUUCACACAUGUUUAAUAACAAAAAUUUGAACACCUAAAUUGACUAAUAAGUGAUACUGAAUUUUUUAAAUAAAAAAUGUUCCUAAAAAUAAGUAAUAAACUAUCCACUUAUCACUUAAUGUUAUUAUUUGAUGUGAUAUAUACUUAAACAUAUUAGAUUUAGUACUUAACAAGUCAAUAUUUAAUGCAUAGGGAUGUAAUCAAGUUGAGUUUGAGUAUUACCAUACUCGAGCUCGAUUCGAUAUACAGGAAGGAUAUUCAAACUCAAACUUGAUCUCGAGCGAGUAGCAUCACUGAAGCUUGAAUUUAAACUCGAUAUAUUGCUCACAGAACUCAAGCUCAACUCGCAUGGAGUUUGAGUCAAUGCGAACCUUAUUGAGAUUGAGUUAGCAAGAUUUGGAAAUUUCAUUUUUCUUGACAAUUUUUUAGUGAAAACACAUUAUUGUCCUUCAAAAAAUUUCAUAUGACCUCAAACAUUUCAUAAAUUCAACCAUUCUUGUGGCCAUAAGGGUAAUUUCAUAAUUAGAAUAUAUUAAAGAAUUAAAAUUAAAAAACUUAUAAGGCUCGACGAACCUUCAAACCUUACUAGUGGAUACUCGAACUCGAUUUGUUAGGCCUAUCGAGCUACUCGAAAUCGAUUCGAACCAGAUCAACUCAAGUCCAAAUCGAGUUUUUGACCGAACUUCUCUUGAGUAACUCGAUUAGAUUACAGCCCUAUUAAUGCAUUUAAAUUUCAAUUUACUCGCGAGCAACUCGAUUCAAUUGCAAUCCUAUUAAUACAUUUAAAUUUCAAAUUUUAGACUUCAAUUUUAUCAAAUACACUCUUAUUAAUUAUUCUGAUUUGUUUAUCCGUCUUCAAGACAAUAGAAAGCAAAAUAUAUAUUCCUAUGCAUUGUGCAUGUUUGAAUGUUUCUUUACUGUUCAUUACCGCGAUACAGCUGUAUCCUUAUUUUGGACCAUGCUAACCAUUCUCAAUUUGAAUACGUCUUAUUCUUUGAUUCCUUCGAAUCACGUCUGCUCAGUAGAUUUUAAAAACUUUUCAAGUAUGAAAAGCACUCCUUUGAUCACUUCAUAUGUGCAAAGUACCAAAAAUUAGUUCCAUGAGUUUAUUAUCUCGAUUUGUUUUGAAUAUAAUUAAGCCCAUAAAAGAUCAUAAAGGCAAAGUAAUGAACGUGGGCUCAACAUCUCAAUCAUUUUAUUUGCAAUCAAGGAUGAGAAGGGAAACACAAUUGGAGUUGCUAUUAGUACUAACUUAGAUAAAAGAAACCUUUGAUUAUUGACAUGUAAAAGCAUUUACCCAAGCUAAGAAUCCACGCAUUAUCCUUGAGCAGUUUUGCUACCAGCUCGUUUUAGCCUUGCAAUCCUACCAAAAUUUAAAAAAUAUAUGUAUUGUAGCGCAACGGAUCUUCUGUCUCAUACUCUGUGUCACUCUCUGUCCCGUUUUAUAGUCUCCUACACAAAAUUAAUAGCUGUUGGAUCUUAAGAAAAUAAAAAAGAACUAAAACAUGAUAUUUAUGCAGGAGAAAUACCAAUAUAAUAAAAAACGGGACAGAGAGUGGCACAGAAUAUGAGACAGAAGAUCCGUUGCGUUAUUGUAGUCUAGCAUGACUCUCUAACUUUAUUUCUCUUUCCUCUAAAGCUAGUUUGCAAGGUACAUAAGUCCAGAUAAACCUGUCAUAACUUCCUAAUCAUUUUUUUCCCAAAGCUAAUGUUGUACAAAUUAACCAUUAACGAUCCAACAACCCCCCGGGGAAAAAAAAGAAAAAAGAAAAAGCGCUUCAAAGUCCAUUGAUGAGAACUUCUGAGACUGGAAUUUUUUUAUGCCACAUAAAUUAACCCUGUUUAAAUUACGUGUUUUUGCAGAAUAAUCCUCUCAGCACAUUUCAACAAACUAUAAGGCAUUUGAUCAACAAUAUAAAUUAUUUUGAUCAACAAUAUAAAUUUAGAAUAGAUUUUUGAGGACUCCAUCUGUGGGCUUAAAAAAAAAAUAUACACCACGAAUUUUCAACCUUUUUUGUGGCCAAUCUUGGCCAUCAAUCCUUGGGAACGUUUAAUUCAUCCAUAAUCUACGUGCAUGGAAUUAAAUGUUUCACAUUCAAGUUGCUAAGAACAAUCCAAAUGGUGGUGUUUGGCAUCCAUCCGUUUGGCCAUAGAAUUCAUACACUUUUACUUUGAAAAGGCUGGACUUGACGUUUUCAAGCUUUUUCUUUUUUAAAUAGGAAGAAAAAUCGUAAAGUCGUUUCCCUUUUCUUUCCUUUUUUUUUUUGUCGUUUUAUUGCAUCCAUUUAAUAGCACAGCCUCCGACUAUCCAUAUAUAAGUACUGUCGUUUUUUUUUUUUGAGAUAGGUGUGCUAGAUUUGGUUGGUUCCAAUUUCCAAAGUAAAACAGAAAAUGAAGUAUCUUAAAUAUAUAAGCUUAUUUAGGCAUAUCCAUCCUGGGAAACAUAUAUAUAUAUAUCAAAGCGGGCUUUUUCUAAUAGCUAGCUGUCCAAUAUCUAAAUUAUAGUACUACUACUACAUAAUUCGUCACUUGUAUUUAUUGGGAUCUCGUCAAACUUUCCAGAAUUGGGAGUGUGUUUUAAAACUGAUGACUGAAUAAGAAACUUUAAUCUCAGAGCACUAAAUUAAUUUUCCAACAACCAGCAAGAGGAAAUUUAUUUAAUUACUACAAUCUGCUGACAACAAAUUUAUAGUACUGCUGCUACUUCACAAGGACAGAAACAGAACCCCCGCCCCCCCUAAAAAAAGUAAUAAAACCGAACCGAACCAGACUUAGUGCAAGGAGGUAACAUUAAUUUACUAAAAUUUGAAUGUUGCAGAUGAAGCAAAUUAAAUGGUCCAAAGAAGAUUCCACCAAAACCUUCAAACCUUGUUCCUAGGCAAAAUAAUUGCUUUCAAAGGAUUCUUCAUCACAACCGUGAAGGCAUAAGUCUCUGUAGGGUCAGGAGGGUUAUCCGGAAUUGGAAGCCACUUGAAUGCCUGAACCAUUCUAGCCAGCAGCAAAUGGAUAUGCAGCGUACCCAAUGUCCAAGCGGGGCAGAUCCGCCGGCCGGCCCCAAAUGGCAGCAUCUUCGCCCCCUUCACACCGGUAAUAUCCACGUCGACACCGUCUCCGAUCAGAAAUCUCUCUGGCCUGAACUCAUUAGGGUCCUCCCACAGGCUAGGGUCCUUGGUGAUCCAUUCAGUGUAAAAUUCUACACUUGCAUCAGCUGGAAUAGUGUAGCCUCCUAGCUCGGUUUCCUUAGUGGAAGCAUGUGACAAGACAAAAUGACUUGGAGGAUGCCUUCGAAAUGUUUCCUUGACUAUUGCCACAAGAUAUGGCAUAUUCUCCACAUCUUUCUCAGUGAUUUCCCCGUUUUUCCCUACCAAAUCAACAAUUUCUUUGUACAACUUCUCCUGAAUCUCCUGAUUUGUCACCAAGCGAUGCAUAGCCCAUUCUACAGUCGUUGCACUGGUAUCCGUACCAGCACUUAUGGUCUCAGAGCACAGGGUAACAAUUUCCUCCUCACCAAGCUUUCCACGGCCUGGAGGCGCAAGCUGGAACAAAGAAUCAACGUAGGCAGCUCCAAUAUCGCUGACCAUUUCCGACCUCGGGGAGCUAUUUUUGCUUCCACCACUCUCCACAAACGCUCUUCUGUCCCGGAUCAAAGGGACCAGGGAAUCUAGCUGUCUCCUUCUCAACUCUUUUGCUGCCUGCACUUGGCCUCGAAAUAGUGGUGUGAGAAGCGGCAAAAAGUCUGGCAGCUUUGGAGAUGUUAUCAGCAUGACUUCUUUGAGUAUGCAUUCGAUUUCCUUGAUCCAUUCUUCCGAGAUCUUUGCUCCAAAACACAGACAAAUGAGAAUGCUGCAGAUAGUCUGCCUGCAGCUGCUCAUCACCUCCACAAAACCCUCUUCAGAACUCCGUUGAUGGAGCCUUUUCAUGUGGUUUUCGAUAGCCCAGUUCCUUAUCCAGCUGCACUGUCUGAUUCUCGUCGGAUUUAUCAGCUCGGUGACAAGGUUCCGGCGGAGAGAACGCCAAAGAGGACCGUAUUCUGCUGAGUUUAUGGCACAUUUUCCGACGCUAAAUAACAGCCGGAUCGGAGAGUCGGCCGGCCGGCUGGCGAAGAGGGGGCCUUUCUGAACUAAGGCUUCAUGAAUGAGCUCAGGGCUUGUGACAACUAUAAGGGUACGUUGGCCCAUUUGCAUGGUGAAAAUAGGACCAUAUUUGGCACGUAAAUCACGUACCACAAAAAUGAAGUGCUUUCCUUGGAGGAUAACUUGGAAAAGGUUGCCUACAAGUGGCCAACCUGGUGGCCCUGGUGGGAGGUUCUUGGCUCCGCCACCGGUGACCGACCAGUAUCGCCACCAUAAACGAAAAAGAAGAGCCACUGCCAAGAGUAUAACAAGAUCUGUCCACUCCAUUUCUUUGGGUUUGCUAUCUUUGAGGCGCUUGUUUGGAGAAAAGAAAAGGGGGUUUGUUUGCAGGGGGGCAUUAUUUCCCUUAUAAAGAAAAUAAAAGAGUGGUGGCCUUGGGUGAAUGAAUUUUACUGGAGCACUACAAUAAUAGUCUAUGAUUCUCUUAUUUCACCAUCAACCACCAGUGUUAAAUACUCCUGUAUUUUAUCAGCAGCUUUUACAGUUGAGUACAGAUCGGAACAAUUAAAUCAAGAAAAUGCACAGUUCAGUCUAUUAAAUGUGUGCAUUUAUGGGAAUACUCAAUACUAGACGAGUCAGGCUGUGCUCCACAUGUGACCUUAAAAAGAAUCUCAUUAACAAAAGAUGGAACUUAAUUUCCAUGCUAAAUUUCUACUACGCAGAGCCAGUGUGCCCACCUCUAAUCUAAUGACCCCUAGCUAUAAGAAAUCUAACUAACAAAAAGAUAGAAAUUUGCAAGCUAAAUUUCAACCAGUUAGCUCCUCAAUUGACUAAAUGCAUCCUAUACUUUACUAACACGAAUGAAAGUUCCUCCACAGCUAACUAAUUUUAGAGGGUGUUUGGACCGUAGCUAAUUUUAAAAUGUGAUGUAUGUAAGAUAACAAGAUAAUUGAAAAAUGCGUGGAAGGAUAAUUUUUUUCCAAAAAAAAAAAAAGCAAUCCAAACACGGCCUUGCUUACGUGGAAUGGGCCGCCUCUCUCUUGCUACUCUUUGCAACAAAUAUCGAGCUGCCACUGCUAAAUCGUGAGCCACAGCUACCUGGCUCCUAUCUAUCUUAUUACAUAAUGCAACUGAAGAAUAGAAAGAAGACAAUAUCCAUUGUUACAUUCCCAACAGCCAAAGGCGAUUCUGAAGGAUCAGAGAGUAAUAGGCUGCUAUCAGUUUGCAUUAAUAUGUCCUUGCAACAAAGCAUUCGCAAUCCAACAAUCGACUCAAAGCAAGCUUGUGCUUCUGCCCGGAUAGCUGAUUCAACUAAUUUUGGUUUAGUCACAAUUUGCAUUACCGUCCCGUGAGAAUUCUAAACAAGAUGCCCGAUACCACCCUUCAUUGAAUGACUAUCAAACGAGCUAUAUAUCUAUGAUAACACUGAUAGGAUGUCUAGCAAACAUUGAAGGAUCAGGUUGAAAAUGAAGCUUCGUGUUCCCUUGCGUGAUUGAUUACUCGAGGUACUGCUGCAGAAUUCAGGCGAUCGAGAUGGACAUUCCACCUUGUCAGAUAGGAUUGAGGUAUUCCACAUAUGUGAUAGGCAGACUUGCACUGGACUAAUACUCACUUCUUCCCAAAGCAAUCCAGAUUUGGCAAAACGAUAGCAGGAUAAGAUCCUUAGACGGGACCAGCUCCACCCAUUGGCCAAACCACUGCUUAAGUAUGUAUUUUGUUUAAAGCGUGGGGGUACAUUGUGCGAAUAUGAAAAUUUGAUAUCAAACUCAGAGAUUUUAGGUUAAAGAUUCGUCAAUCUUUCUAUUUCUUGAAUCUCACUAUUUUCCUAUUAAAACAAAUCUACAAAUUUUAUUUAUAACACGUGGUUGUUUUGGGAGGAGGGGGGGGGGGGAGAUAAUGUAUGAAUAUGACCAUGUGAUAUUAAGAAGACGAGAAUUUUUCUUGUGAAAGACGAGUUUUUUUUAAGUCGACAUUAGUUUAGGCAAGGAUUUUAAGUGGCACAAAUGGACUUUGUCGAGUCAACAUUAGUCUUAAUCAGGCACAACUCCACGCUUGGGCAAAAUAUAUAUUCAUGGUUUGGGGUCGUAUUCAAGAUCAAUUUUCAUCAUACGAGCUGCUACUGUUGGCAAUUGCUUUUAGUUUUCAGCCAAAUGAUUGAUCAUACUCUGAUUCCUUAAACAAAGAACCCUCCAAGUUGUCUCCUCUAAGUCUAGAUAUGAAGAGACCUCUGCUGAUGUUCUUCUGGCCCCGAAAUCUUUGACAUGCAGUUGGAGGGGGAGGGAGAAGUUUGCAACAUCUUUCACAUCUCAAACAAAUGUUUUUCUACGGUUAGCUACUCACACAGUAGUGUAAUAGGUAUACAGUUGACCCAAUAAAAAGAUAAAUUACACCUUAACGUCUCUUACUUCUUAACUCACACCGACUAUUAUUCAAUGAUUCAGCAACUUAUUGACUCUGCAAUUAAAGUGCAAAGCGCAUUUCUAGAGCAAUUGCGCUUUACAAAUUACAACCCCACAAAUGGCCGACAGGAUUCAAGAUUUUCUGUCCACCCUCCCGUCAAAUGCAAAACUAUAUAGUUCCACUUAUUAUAUUUACUGAUGUAGUACAGAAAAAAAGAAAGAUGGUUUGGCUGCCUUAUGCUUCUUUUUAUUUUUUAAUAAUAAGGUUCCCAAAAUUGUUUGCUUACACUUACAUGAGAAAGAAAAGAAAUUAUUUUGUUGAAGAACUUCCUUCGUCUUCUAAGCAGAAAAUGGUGGCAAUAGAUUUUGGGAAUUGUAACAGUAGCAACAGAGUUUUGGAAAUUGUAACAAAAUUGUGUAAAUAAAGGAAAUCCAAAAGAGAAAAAAAGAAGAAGAAGCAUAAAACAGCCAAACAGCAUUUCUUUUUUAUGUGCCACGUCAGCAGAUAUAAUAAGUGAAACUACGUAGUUUUGCAUCUGACAGGAGAAUGGACAAAAAAUCUUGAAUAUAGAAUCUCGUCUGCACAAAUGGGUGGCUAAAGAAUGUAAUGGCUACACAUGUCUAGAUAGCCACUAAUCUUUUUUUUUUUUUCGAAAACGACAACAAUUGUAUAAUCUAAUCUAUUUUAUACUAAGGGGAAAGGGACUGACCUAAAGAGACCCAGGGAUAAUUUGGAGGGGACUAAACCACCACCGAAUCAAACGGGUGCACAACACACCCGUCUGAAAAUUUUGAAACAAAUCACUUAAAUGUGACAUUUUGGUGGAAGGCAAGGUUCAAACCUUGCCUCCCAUCCCACCAAGCUAGGUGGUGGCCACCGGCCCAAAGGCUGGUGAUUUAGAUAGCCACUAAUCGUAAAUUAGAUAGCCACUAAUCGUAAAGGUUAACAUGGCUAGAAAAACUUCAACAUCAAUCGGUCACUCUCCCCUUCCCGGGAUGAGGCCCCCAUCCCCCCCCCCCCGGGUCAAUGGGUUCUAAUUCGUCGAAGGAGACGGCUCCCUGAACCAAUCCAAAAACUGAUGGGAAAAGUUCUUUCAUUUCCUUAUCCAGUACAGACGCCGCUCCAACAUUUAUCAGCCUUAAAAAAUAGAAGGCUACAACUUUCACAUGGUUUCCAAUUGUAAAUUAGAAGCGUUUGACAAAAACUAAACAUCAGACGAUCGAUCAAGUUUGGUAGGCUAAACAUGUGACAUAUGCCCAAGAAAUAAGGGCUAAUACGAUUCUAGUAUCCUUCCUGGUAUGUUUAGACUCGGGAUUUGAAAUACUAUUUGAGGGAAAAUUUUGGUAGUAUUUUUCAUGAAAAAAUUACUGUAACGAUUUGAUGUAUGUGAGGGAAAAAAAUAAUAGGGAAAUGUGAUCGCGAAAAACGACGUAAUUUUUCAAUAAAAAAUCGCAAUCCAAACAAGGCCAAUUAAUUUAUUUUCAGUCCCUUGCAUGAGUUCUCGAGUCAUAAUUUGAUUUAAGCUACUGAAAAAAUAUGAUUGCAAGACAGUAGGCUUGAACAGAUGCCAAUGGGUUUCUUAUUUACACUACUUACCACUGAGAUGAAACAUAGGUCCACGGCCACCCAAUGCAAUAAAGCAACAAGUCCCUUCUGCUAGUGCUUACAUUUAACUGCAAUCAAUUCUUUGACUACUGCACUGUCCAACGGUAGGUGCAGGCAACACAUUCUUUAAUUUCCUCCUCUGAGAGGAAAAGUCAUAGACAACUCAUUGACAGUGAUUUCGAGUUUUCUUUCUUCGUUUUUUCCCCCCCCCCCCCUCGGAGAGCAUUAAGAAUGAGCUGGAAGUUGGGAACCAGCACGUUUUACCGAGCGACCCUUUUCUGUUCACUCACAAACACAACACAGUUGCUUAAUUACCUAAACAACGUUAAUGUGGUCGUUCAGACUUGUCUUCAGGUGUAAUAUCGUUGCAAAUGAUCUAUCCUUGUGGGAGGGAACUGGGCUACGAACUUGGUUUUUGAUGGGAUUAACAUUUUUUAUUCUGAUAAUGUAAAGAUCUUUGGCACAAGAUAUAGUUUGUAUCAAAACACUGACGUUUUAAAAAAUCUUUACACAAUCAAUAUACUGAAAAAAAUUAUGCACGAAACGACUGGCAAGAAACAAGUUGCCGCGGAGAACCAGGGGGUUGGCUAUCCUUUACAAUAGAGGUGGGUACCGUCUAAUUGGUCCGAUAUGGGAGUAUUCGUUUCAUAUUUCUAGAAGUCUUGAAAUCGAAAUUGAUGGCUUAAAUCUGGGUCGCAUCUGAGCCUAGCUAUGCAGGUAUGCUUCUCUGUAAUUACACUAGCAAUGACAGAGAAACCAAAUCUGAUUGGAAUGGGACUAGAGAUAGGCCUGUCAAUUGAACCACAUGAGUCGGGUUUUCAUAAGUUCAAAUUCAGUUUAUUUAAUUUGUAACACUUUCAGGUUUCAAACCAUGAGUUUCGCGCAAAUAAAUAUGAUGAUCAUACUCAACUCACAAAAUAUUCGGAUUUUGAAUCAUAUUCGUGUUUAUCCUAAAUUCACUUAUUGCUCCUCAAUUUUCUUAAUAUAAUUAUUAUAACUAUUGAGUUCUAAAACUAAUUUUAGACCCAAAUUCAGACUGAUUCACUAAAAGAUCAAGCUCAUCGGAUUUUUUCUUGGAGCCAACGAGUCGAACUUGGGUUAACCUGGCCGAAUUAACAGUCCUAGGUAGAGAGCAAAUUAAUGAGGCAACCAUGUCCUCUUAACUUCAAAGGAGUAAUUACUCUUAACUCUUGGGUAGAUCUUGGUGUUGAAAAAUGCUGGCCUGAAUUAAUUUGUGUUAAUCUCUAUUCCCAUUCCACCUUUUCUCUUACAAGACAUAUUUUCCAUCAUCUUUCUUGUAAUCAAUUUUGGGUUUAUCUUCCAAUUUGUCGACAUUUAUCUUUCUAUGAUUUAAUAUUUAUUCAAUUUAUCUGAUCUCUUUUAGAGCAAUCGUUUUUAGUGUUUAAGGACUUGUUUGAUAGCUUUACUUAAUGCUAAAAAAAUAUUUAUUCAAAACUUUUUGAAUUUAUCAUGUUUGAUAAUAGAAAUACAUUACCACUUAAUGUGAUAAACACUGCUUGAUUUGUGUACAAAAUUUUAAGUGAAAAAAUUUCACUGAAAUUUUUGAAUUGACAACAUAUACUAACACAUAUUAUACCCCUGAGAUUAGGGAUGUAAUCGAACCGAGUUACUCGCGAGUAGUUCAAUCAAAAACUUGACUCGCACUCAAUUUUUAGGCUGUAAGAUUCAGGUUAAUAAAUGUGAUAAUCAUACUUAACUCAUAAAAUAUUCAGGUUUUGAGCCUUAUUUGAGUUUAGCCCAAACUUACUUAUUGUUUCUCAAUUUUCUUAACAUAAUUUCUAGAACUAUAGAGUUGAAAAACUAAUUUAACAUUCACAUGACCAUAAUAUUAAAACUAAACAUGAACAAAUAAUAUGUCUUAAAAAGUACAUAAUCAAGAAUUUUCAACAAUAUUUAUAUCUAAUUCAUUCAAAAUACAUGAAAAAUAGUAAUAAAACAUGCGGUCAUAAGCCAAUACGUUUUCAAAUAUUGGAAUUUCUUUACAACUUUGUGACUUGAAUCCAAACAUGUUUGAUGAUUUGUGUUUCUAGAUAAAAAAAAAAAAAGAAAUCAACCAAUAUUGUGCUAACACAAAAAUUUACUCAACCAAUAAGAAAAGUUAAAAUUUCAGUUAUGCAUUACUAAUAUUGACUCUUAAGAAAGAUAGUAGAAGAGUCUUCAAAUGUUUUUUUAUGUUUUGUAAUUUGUAUAUACUUAGUAUUCAGUAAUAAUAUAUUUGGAUAUAUAAUAUCAAAAUAUAAAUAUUAUAUAUAUCAUUAUAUAUAUAUGUAAUUUAAGGGUCGGACCUAUAUUGGAUUUAAGCCUAACGAAAUCCAAAUUCGACUCAUAUUUAAUUCGAGUCUAAUUUUUAGAUUCAAACUCAGACUAAUUCACUAAAAGGGCAGACUCAUCAGGCUUUUUCUUGGACCGAACGAGUCAAGUUAGGGCUAAUCCGACCCUAUUAACAGUCCUAACCGAGUGCAAGUUGAGCACGAGUAGCUCGAUAAUUAUUCAAGUCAAGUUCAAGUAUUGAUUUUUCAAACUCGAUAGCUUGUCGAGCCUUAUCAAACACAAAGUAAUUAAUUAAAAAUUAUAUAUUUAGUUAUUACAAUUUUACUCUUUUAGGUUUGAGAGUUCUAUAAAUUACAAUAAUUACUCUUUCAGUUUAGUCAAGUACUCGAACUCGAUGAUACUCGCAAGAAAAUCGACCAUAAUCGAGUCGAUCUCAAGUUUUCGAACCAUUCUUCAAGUUCGAGUUCGACAUCUAUUUCUGCUGCUCACUCGAGCAGUACCUCUUUACUGUCGAGUUGAUAUUCGCGCUCGACUCAACUCAAUUAUAUCCCUAUCUGAGACACAUAACAGACUCUCGUAAUAUUCUUGCAUAUGGUAUAUAUUUGUUUUCUUUAUGUUCAAUACACAUGCACACACACACACAAAUACAAACAUUUAAAUAUCACCUUUAAAUUGUUUUAUUAUUUUCUCUCUCUCACACACACGUACACACAUUUUUCUUUUUCUCCAAAUAAACAACUAAGAAUCCAAGUAGUUAUCAAUAUUUAUGCGUGCACGCAUAAAUAUUUUCUUUUUCUCUCACAACACACGUGCACACAAUAUUUAUGCAUUAUUUUAUUUUAGUAUUAUAAUCCAAGUAGUUAUCAAAUAGAUAUAACUUAAAUAAUUUAGCAACUUAAUAGUUUCAACACCUAAUUUUUAAAAUUUAAAUUUCAGAUUUCAAUUUUAUUAAAUGUUCUAAGUUUAUACGCAUUUCAUCUAUUCUUUCAGGCGCGAGGAAUUGGUCUCAACUGGCAAGCAUAUGAUUCUGCUCCUCAAGUCUGAUCUUAUAAAAGAAUUGGAAAUGUCUACAUAAUGGAAGAUAGUAGUAUUCUUUUAUCGUAUUGGAGUGGCCUUUUUAUCCCUUUUCUUUAGGCCUCAGGAAUCAGUUUCCGAACCAAAAGCCCAAAUCCAAGCCUCAAUAAAAAACAACUGAUUGUUAGUAGCCCAUUAGACAUCGCCUCUCCUUCUCACUCCUCCAUCGCAUCAGCAUCCUUGUUUUUUGGCCGAUAAAAUGAGAUAAUAAACCCCAAAAAGGCACAAACUUUGAAGUAAAACCCCAAGGAAGGGAGAGGGGCCAUGGCUGCCACAGCAACCUUAGCUUCAAUCUUGACUAACACUUCACUUUCGUCACUUGUAUGGAGCUCAACUUACAGAAGAACUCUUCUAAGUCCUGUAAGACUGGUUUGCAGAUUAGCCUCUAACCAUUUUUGGACAGAAAAUUACCAGAAAAACUCAAACUUUAUCACCUGGGAUUCACGAGCCAGAAGCCGAUAUAGAAGCUUUAGAUGUCAAUCCACUGCUUCUUCGAAUGUUAACUCAACUCCUGACUCUGUUUCCUCAAAUGGGUACUUCUUAUCUUUUCCCACAUAUUAUAACCAGUAUAGGUGUUAACCUUUUUUUGUUUGGUGUUAUCAGUUUGUUAGACCCUUCUUAAAAAAAAAAAAAACUUAUCUGGCUUUUUGAAAUUUGGGUUUUCUGAGAAUAUAUUAAUAAUAGCUUAAACGUUUGAAAAUUGGUGGGUUCCUGAUGAUUGUGACUCAUUUAUCUUCCACAUGGGGUCUGAAAGUUGCUGUUGCUUGACCACUGCCUUAAAGCUUACCAAUGUCUAUGCAUCAAAGACCUAAAAAAGAUUUCUUUUAAAAAAAAAUUACUAUAUGAUUUGGUGGGCUGGAAACUGGAAAUGAAGCAACAUUGCAAUAGGGAUAUGGGGAUAGUAAAGAUUGAUGUAUUGGUAUUGCUGUAGGUUAAGCAGCAUUCCCAUAGAAUAGUAAAAGUUGAUGUAGGUUCCUAUCUACUCUUCCUACGACAUAUUUGAGGUUAUCCAUUUCACAGCUUUGUUUGAUUCCAAACAUUUGAUGUCUCGUCAUAGUUGAUUUUGAGCAAUUCUGUGAGUCAAGAAUAAAGCUUUUAUUAUCUAUCUACUCUUCCUAGCAACAUGUUUGAGUUUAUCUAUUUCAUAGCAUUGUUUGAUUCCAGAUUCCAGACAUUGAUGUCUCAUCAUAGUUGUUUUUGAGCAAUUCUGUUGUAUAGCUUGAACUGAAAAUGGCCUAUAUUGCUAUAUUAAUGUAGUUAUUUGGAGUGAAUAACACAUUGCAUCUCAUAGACAUGAUUAAAAUAUCUCUUGUACCUGAAUAUAGUCCAGUCGUGUCAUGGCUGUCGAUUUUGAAGAUGAAUACAAGCUAUUGAUGGUUUGACAGGGAUCAUGUUGUCCUUGGAUAACUUUGACUUCGAUAGACAUCAGGGCUGGUUAUUUUUCUUUGAAAAAAAAUUGUAUAGGAUUGAUCUAUAUGUGCAUGUAAAAGAUAUUCUGAAUAACUACUCUGUCUGUUGUUGUGUACUUAAUAAGCAUGAAAAUGUAAUGAAAAGCAGGUAGGAAAUAGAUUCAGCAAUGAUGUUAUCAAACUUACUUUAUCUCUUAAAUGAGAAACAUCCUCUAUUUAAUCCAUGAAGCACCAUAUUGGUGCUGACAAGCACGUGGACUUUUUAGCAUAUUUCAAGAAUUUUAGCAUCUUUUGUAGUUUAGAUAAUAUGUUUGAUAAAAUUGGGAAAAGCCAUUCCAGUUUCGGUGUAUUUCUACUUUCAUUUUAAUCCACAUAACUUGUUUUUCAACAUAAUUUGCCUCAGCUUCCGAAGAUAUGGCCGCUUGCUUCCUUGUCCGUCAGAGAAUGGCCCACCAAGAGUGGAACACUUAGUUGUUAAGGAAGGAGGGCCUGUGCUUGAUUAUAUUAGUAACUCUUUAGAUCUCCCUCCACUGUGAGUAUCUCUUCUUUGUGCCAUUGUCUUUAAGAGGCUGAAUAGGAUAUUGAGGUGCUAGAACAUGAAUAACAAAGAUGUGUUGAAUUAUGUAUAUUUCAUCUUGAAAGGUUUGUUGCAGAUCUUAUUCAUUUUGGAGCUGUGUAUUAUGCUCUGGUAUGUCCAAAGCCUCCCCCUAGUGCCACUCCUGAGCAAAUUAAAACAUAUAAAGAAGUUACAGCUCCAUCAGUUCUCAAAAACCGAGCCUCCAUUAAAGGGAAAACUGUUCGUGAAGCACAGAAAACUUAUCGGAUAACUCGUGCUGAUGAGUUUGUUGAGGCUGGAACCUAUUUACGUGUGCAUGUACACCCAAAACGUUUUCCGAGGUAAUCAUUUAAGUACCCACGACCAGUUUAUUAGAUCUAUGAUUACCCUUCCAAUAAUGUUGUUUUUUCAAUCAUUAUCAGGUGCUAUGAAAUAGAUUGGAGAUCAAGAAUUGUUGCCAUAACGGAAUCCUACGUUAUUCUGGACAAACCAGCUGGUACAUCAGUAUGUAUGAUGUUGUUCAGCAUUGGAAUAUUCUGCAACUUUUUUUAACCUAUGUGCUCCUUUUCUGCUUAAGUUAUCACCACGUUCUCCUAGAUAAUUGAUACAAGUCUGAAUAAAAAAUGUUGUAGUCAAUUGAAUUCUCUACUAAUUUUUAUUCUGGAAGCAAAAUGUGAUAAAACUUCUAGGAUCCCCCUUCAACAACAAAUCAGAGGAAGAUAACCUUCUCCAUGGUUUAGAAGUAUUUCUCUUUGAUUUCAAGUUAGAGGAUUUUAUAGCACUAGUUCAUCAAUUAGUUGACCACUGUAUUUUUCUAAAUGAACUAAUUGGUAAUAUGGAGUGUUUAGGUACAUAUGAGUUAUGAAUGUCGAGACAUAGACUUUUGUUGUAGAACAUGAGCACAAACUAGUCAACAACAGGGGUCCUCUAUUCUGUUGAUAUGGAUUCGUGAUGGUGUGGACACUUUAUGCACUUUCAUGACAAGAUCGUAUAUUCUAGAAUUAGUAUUUUCAUUUGACAUUUUCUUGCCGCGUUUUAUGAGGAUUUCUAAGGGUUACUAUACAUUUCUCUGUUGAUUAGGUUGGAGGAACUACUGACAAUAUUGAAGAAAGCUGUGCAACAUUUGCUACUCGUGCAUUAGGAUUAACAAGUCCAUUGAUGACUACCCAUCAGAUUGAUAAUUGCACUGAAGGCUGGUAAAAUAUCAAUAUGGGCUUCCAUAUCUAUUACUCUUCUUUGGAUGAAACCUGAUUGUGUCAUAUUUAUUUGCAGUGUUGUUUUAGCUAGAACCAAGGACUAUUGCUCAGUUUUUCAUGGGAAAAUCAGGGUGAGCAGUAACUCUAGAAAACUAAAGUGAAUUUGCAGACAAUUUAAAACCGAAAAGCUAGAAAUUUUUGCUGAAUGAAACACAAUAUGCUUUCUGCUGUCCUUGUUAAGAAUUUAGUAUCAACUGGUCUUAUUGUUUUGUUGGUUUGGUCUGCUCUCCUUCUGAAAGCGUAUGUUAUUUCAUCAGGAGAAAAAAGUUAAAAAGCUUUACCUUGCACUUGCUGCUGCUCCUGUGCCGGUUGGAGUCAUUACCCAUUACAUGCGACCAAUUAAUAUUGCACCAAGACUUGUUUCUGAAGGUAGUCCCUUGAAGAUAGUACUUGAUCCUAUUAGUUGGAAUUCGUUUUUAGUUGCUUUUAACCCAUGCCACAACACUGCCUUUUUCUUGUGGCUGACAUGACCCCUUGCUUCCUUUCUUUUUAAGGGAGAAGAAUAAUUGCACUUGAAGUUCUAUCCUUACCCCUUAUUUUAGAGAACCUUCUGAAUAUCUGAACACACCUUCAAUUUUAUGAUUGCUGCCUAUAAAAAGUAUACAUUUUGAGUGUUGAUCUUGGACAUGCUCUGAAGCCAGCCCUUCUUUUGCAUGCAGAAUCUGUUGAUGGAUGGCACUUGUGCCAGCUUGAGGUCCUAGAAUGUAAGAAGGUUGCCUGGCCCACAAGCAUGACGGAAAGGAGAUAUAGCAUUGAGGAUUGUGGGUGGCCUCCUCAAGAUUUCGCAUAUGAGUGUAAAGUCAACCUUCUGACUGGUCGAACUCAUCAGGUACCUAAAUGAAUCUUCUCCUUUUCUAUUUCUUUCUUUUUUCCUCUUCUUUUCUACAUUAGAGGAGCGUGGAAGUUAAGUACCUUUUUAUUCCCAAACUCUGUAAUUCAUGUGAUUCUCUUGCUUUUGCUGUUGGCUUAUUUUACUAGCUUCUGGAUGGGACUUCCUAGUAAUUCACAUUGAAAAAUAUUUAAAUGCAAUUAGAUUAUGAAGUAGUAGGUGUGAAUGUUGCAUUGGGAAGUAAAGCCAAUUCCUUAAAAGUUGAGAAAGAGACACGAAAUGGAGCCGUUUAGUUUCAUUAAAAUUGUUUUGCUCAUUUGAACCCUCAUGGAACUCACCUAAACCAGGCACAUGCAAAAGAAGAAAGAGACUUUUACAUUGAGUCAAAGUGUUACUGCAUAUAAUAGUUGACUUUGUGAUAGGCGUUUUGACCUCUGUACUAUUAAAUUCCCUAUGGUCUUUAUGAAAGUUGCCAGACAAAGGAGAUGGGAAAGGUGAAAAAAAAAACAGCAGAACAGUAAAAAACAGCAGAACAGUAAUAAAUAAUUCACAAUUGAUUUUUCUUUCCAUUUGAUUAACCUGACCACUAUUGUCUUACUGACAAGUUAUACUCACUAUAUUCAGAUUCGAGCACAGUUGGCUGCCUGUGGUGCUCCAAUAGUUGGUGAUUCAAUGUAUUUGCCAGCUGCUGUUGCUGAGAUCGUCAAUCCUAGGCUUAAUCCAUUUAGGAAGAAUAGUAAAAAAUAUGCAAAUGAGACUGAUAAAGCACAGGCUAUUGAAGAGUGGAUAGCUCAGCAUGGGAAAGAACCAGCCGUGGCUAUUGGUCUUCAGGCAUGUCAGAUUUUGUGGGACAAUGGAGAGCACUUUUAUGAGGCUGGAACUCCUUGGUGGAGGUAGAUGAUGCUUGGCUAUGCUUCUUAGAACCAGAAUAACUGAUGACUGAAUUAUGUUGUGAGGUGGGAGAAUUUCCCUUGUCAAUUUUGACGAUAUGCCAAUUUCAGCAAAUAGCACUCAUGCAGCUUCUCCACCUGUUUGAAAAAUUUUCCACGUAUUUAGAAAUCUAUGCUUUUGGGAAGCCAUUGGUCAAAAUCGAAAUAGGAAAGGACAUGAUAUCCUGAUAUCGUUGUAUAGAUUAGAUUGAUAAUGGGGUAGGGUAGGAAUAGAAUACAAGACUUUGGAGGGCCAUUGUGCUUAUAUUUGAGUUAAGGUUCCAGGUUGAUUUCAUGGUUUCCUUGCAUCAAAAAAUUCUUUCUAGUGUUCUUUUUAGUAUUCUUUCUUGUGUGUUUAUUUUUGAGUUAAGGUUCCAGGUUGGUUUCUUGUUUGUUCAAUUACUGCAAUCUGUGCCUUGAAAUCUAUCGUUGUUUUGGUUGCAUAUUCAAGCUUCAGUGAGGUUUCACAGUCAGAUUGUCGUCCUCAUGAAAUAUGCUGGAACUUUCUGUGCUUGUCUUUCUGUAAAUAUACUCUAAUUUGACUUAUUGGGAGUGUAGCUGGCGACAGAAAUCAGUCUUGGUCCAUGUGAAAAUACAGGCUUACAAACAACUAUAAGAUGCCUAUGUCUACUUGUCAGAUUAACCACAGUUACAUGAUCCAUGACAGAUCAAAGUUUGCAGAUAAAAGGUGAAAUCUGAGUGAGCUGUUAGGUAAAUAACAACCGACUCUGCUGCAGUGUGUUCUUUUAACAUAUCUUAUCCUGCUCAACAGCUAUGAAACAAGAAAGAACGGCAGGUGAUAUCGUAGGUAUUUCUUUAAAUAUUGCGCAAGUUGAGGAGUUGUUUUGUGUUUUGCAAUGAACUCCUUGUACCAAGUUGCUGAUGCUUUAGGAGUGUGUUUCAACUUUCAAUGUGGUGUGGUCAACAUGACGAGGUCCGAAUCUUUUGGUGAAUCCAUGUAGCCACUCAUAGGCAUCGAGCAAGGUCCAAACAAAGUAACCCCUCACAUCAGCUCCUUUCCUGAUUAUAUCCAUCAAAACUUGAGGAUAAGAUGAAGCUGUGGAUUUCUAAACCAUAUGGUUCAUUUUCGGAAGGAAUCAUCAGUAUUAAAUGGUAAGUUAAACAUCUGGGAUAGUCAACAUUCACAUGCAUCUAUUUACCUCAUGGCUCUUGACAGAUAAUCCAAAUAGUCCCUCAAGUACUCGACUCUCUUGACAUCAUUUAAGGGAUUCAUCAAAAGUGGAGUUAGGGUUGGUAACCUCACGGUAACCUGGAACUCGAUCAAAUCCAAGUCAGCAAAUCGAUAUCUUCCACCGCCCUCCCCAACACAAUAAGCUAAAAAAAGAAAGGGAAGAAAUGGGGAAAGGAAUGACAGGAAAGAUACUAAAUGGAAAAGCAGAAAACCUCAUCUCUAGAUGAUCACUCACCAUUUUCUGUAAUAAUUAUUGGGAUAUUAUUGUAUCUUUCCGAGAUAUGGGUAACAGUUUUUCCAUUCCUGGUGGGUGAGAUUGUAAUGGCUCAUCACCUGUCUGUUAAACUUCAGCAUUUAUGGAUGAUUCACAUAUGGAAAAUGUAAAUUCAAAGCGGGUAAACUGUCUUGCAAGUUCUCCAAUGGGGAUGCCAUCUUUAAAGUUGGUUUGUCUAAUGAAACCUUCUGUCCUGGUACUUCCAGGUGAGGGUUCGCAGGAGGAAUACAGCAAUCUCCAACAUAAAAGCUUGUGUAGUGGUUGAUGCCAAUAAAAUCCACCCCGAGUUUCAAAUUGUCCGAGUCAUUGCUGGAAAAUUUUGGUAGAGUAGAUCCCGGAAGAUCAUUCAUCUCUUUAGGAUAUCUCCCAAAUGCAAUUGGGUCCAAGAACCUGAUCAAGUUGAUUAUCGAAUCAAAUAUAUAAUUCCUGUACAGGUCACUAAGUUUGUGUACAAGUAUGAUGUAGAAGAUAUAUAGUUACCAGUUUGAUAAGAAGGAUUGAGCUCAUUCUGCAGCCAACUUGUCUGCUGUAGAGUUGCUUAGGGCCUCAAACCAACCAGUCAGCACAAUGAUGCCUAUGGUACCUCCUUGAUUUUUCUGAACAGAGUUUCCGCUGAAUUAAACUUUGAUGUGGUAAAUGGUAUCCUAUUUAUACCUGGUACUUGGCUUUGUAUAUCUUAACAGGGGCUGCAUGAGCAAGAAUGAUAUUGUGCGCUGCAAUGAAGGGCUCCUUUUCUGAAUCUCCAUUAGAGCAGUUUCCCAAAAGGCUUUGAACAACGACCAGGAGGAAAGAUUCCAGAACGAUAUGCAGCAAUGACAAAUACAUUUGUUUCACUGAAUGUUACCCAGUACUUUACCCUGUCCCAAAGUUGUUGAAACAGAUAUCUGCGAAGUAUUUGAAGUCUUCCCUGGGAGGAAAAAAAAAAGAAGCUUAAUAAACGUUCAAUGGCAAGCUGGGAUUACAGACAUAAUGUACGAAUGCUUGCACUAAAUUGGGGCUUAGCCAAGCUCCAUAUCUUUCCUCUAGUUCACAAGGAAUAUCGAAGUGAAUCAGAACGAUAAACGGUUGUAUCCCUGUAAAUCAAGAUGAGCAAAAUUUUACAAGCAUUCUAAUGAAUGGCCUCAGAUGAGCAUUGAAAUUUCUUGUAUUUUCAUUUCACAGCUCCUCAGGUUAGAUCGUGGAGGCAAACCUCUGAGGAGGAGAGCGCUGAUAUGCAAAAUUUACAAUGGUCAAUCCCUGCAAAAUUUAUGCUUCCAUAUCUCCCUUCUGCAGGCAUACAAGUUUGAAUCAGGGAAAUGAGUUUAACUAAAUACUAGUAACAGGUCAUUGCCAAAGGAUUUUUUUUCUUUAUUCUUUAAUGAUAGUUAAAUGGUAUUAAACAAUCAGCAACACACUCCCCUGAAGGAGUUCAAAAGGCAAUUCAGCUGUAUUUUGUCAAGGCAAACCGUGGGGUUCACCAGAAUACCGGUGAUAUUCAUCAACAACAACAUCUCCAUUGUCUCCAUCAAUUACUGAUCUCGCAAAACUAUAAUAUAUAUAGCUGUUAGCUGUUUUCGAAUUAAUUUUCGAACCAAUGAAAGAAUUUCACAUGAAUACUACAAUUUUGAUUUCCAAAUUAUUGGCCUUUAAACUCAGACUGAACCGAUCCGUGAUCCUCCUGACCUGAGUGUGUGUGUGUGUGUUUUUUUUUUUCAAAUUCCCCACCUUUUCCCUCCAAUCAGAACAGUUCCCACGAAAAUGCUUCGAUGACUAAAAUGCCCUUAACAAUUAUCAGUAACAGCUAAAGGAUUUAGUUUGGCUUUCUGAACCUCUCUUCGACUCUUCUGCCACUCUAUCCCCAAGGCCAAAGCUGAGGUUGAGGUCCAUCACCACCGAACUCAGGCAUCCCAUCUUCCAGGAGCCCUUAAUCAUUAUCCUUACUGUCCUUUGGUCUUCCUCUUCCCAGAAUUUUGCUUCAUGUUGAAGAAUAGUUUCCUGGUAACACUUAAUUCUGCGUUCAAUAUUUGCACCAUUUUCAGAAUUUUGUUUUUCGAUGAUGAAUAGGGCCAGGUGGCGUUUUCUUUUCUUUACCUAUUUUUAGUAUUGGAAAGAACAAGUAGAUUGUAAAGUUGUAAACUUGAUUUGGGAUUUUGAAGUUGGACAAAAUGGACAGGUUUUAAGCUCUCUAACUGAAUAACUGGGUACCUUAGGGAAUGAAAUGAAAUUUUUUCGCAGAUAUAUUCAAGAGAAAAAUUAAAGUUGUCUUCUUUCGUUUACAAUCUUUUAAUGGGCUUUUAUUAUUUUGUUUGUUUGUUGCAGUUGUGUAGUGGUGUGUGUUAUCUCCAUGUUCCAGUACAACAACCCAUUUUUAUAUGUAAGAAAAGAAACAGGUCCAUCAAAUCUGCUGCUGCUGCUGCAGUUGCUUACAAUGCAAUUAGUUCUAGUGCUGCUGCUGCAGUUGCUUACAAUGCAACUAGUUCUAGUGCUGCUGCUGCUGCUUCAACCUUAGAGAUAUCAUCUGCUUCAUCUCCUUCAUCGUUCCCACUCUUUCAAACCCCUUCAUCACUCCAACCUACUCCUGCCUCCGAGGUAGGUUCAAUUUGCACCCUUUUUUUAUUGAGUUUCAUAUUACUUCCUAUUAAUUGUAUAUUUUAUUUUGUUGAUUCACCCUUUGAUAAGUCAUUUGUGUCCUGUGAUGAAUAGGGUUUUCAUUGGUUGCUCACCUUUUUAUUCUCAUCAUGUAUCUUGGGAGUAAGAAAAGCUAAUCCUUAGUAGUAACAUUAUAUUGGCAGAAGCUGUAAUUCUAUAACUACUGUCACCAAACGCUUGAUUCUGCUGUUCCUUCUUUCUUGAAAUCAAUAAACAUGAAGAAUUUUCUAUUCUACUGGGAUUUCAAAUUGAUUAUGACGUAGCUUUGGAAAAGGAAGUGACUUUUUUUUGUAAAUUGAGAAGUGUAGAGAAUGUCGUGCUUAUAUUGUGCUCUUGGUUGAACUUUGUCAUAUGGAAAGGGAAAGAGGAUUGAUGAAUGAAAGAAAUUAUCUGUUUUUAAUUUUUUUUAGUAGGGAAGGGGUAGGAUUUAAGGAGCAGGGAGGGGGAAGGUGGGAUUUGCACCCAGGACCUCUAAUUCCUUGGACCACAACCUUAGUCUUUAGACCAAGGUCUCCUUGGCAAUUUAUUUGUUCAUGCAUGUAUGAUUACUUUUUAGUGUGGAAUAAGGUCAAGAAAGACAUGUCAGCAAUUAUUGGAACUUGGGUGGAGAAAUUUUCUGCAAUGUGGUUGUUCCAUUUUCUGCCUUCUCCAUUCUUCGAUCUGUGAAUCUUCAUAUUAUUACCUUGCCAUAUACUUGUCUGGAAAUUUUUGGUAUAAUUAUUGUCUCUUCUAUUUUUUAACUACAUCCAUUUGUUUGAUUUUAUUCUCUAUUUUGACUUGAAAAGUUCAUUAAUUUUCCAUUAACAGUUAGAACCGGCAGACCCAGAUUUCUAUAAGAUAGGAUAUGUUAGGAGUGUUAGAGCAUAUGGCAUUGAAUUCAGGGAAGGCCCUGAUGGGUUUGGAGUAUAUGCUUCCAAAGAUGUUGAGCCUCUUCGUCGAGCUAGGGUUAGUUUUGCUUCUAGUAGUUGUUAUACAAUGUACUUAGCUAUAACUUAAGUUGUCAUUGACUAUGACAAACUUCAAUACCUUUUGAUUUGUUGUUUGUGAAUGCGAAACAAAAUGAUAUUCUUUCCAUCCAAUUAUUCAUGUGAUUCUGCAGGUCAUCAUGGAAAUUCCCUUAGAAUUGAUGUUAACUAUAAGCCAAAAGACACCCUGGAUGUUCUUUCCGGAUAUCAUACCUGUCGGCCAUCCUAUAUUUGACAUCAUCAAUUCAACCAAUCCAGAGGUAAAUUUUUAAGUAUGUUGCUCAUUCCAUGUUUAAUCUUUCUAUUCACAGCUGACAGUUUCAUCAUUGCUCAUUAUAUUUUCUUUUGUAGAUUCAAGUAUUUAGGUAAUAUUCAGUUACGUACUAUUAAAUUACUUAGCCAUGCUCACUAGAAUCAUUUUCAUCUGUAGGUUUUCUUUGUAUUCUAGAAUAGGUCAUGUAUUUUCUUAAAGUCCUAAAUAUAAUAUUGGUAUUUUGACAGAUAGACUGGGACCUGAGGUUGGCAUGUCUUCUUUUAUAUGCAUUUGAUUGCAAAGACAACUUCUGGACACUGUAUGGUGACUUCUUGCCAAGUGCUGAUGAAUGCACUAGCUUGCUUCUAGCGACUGAGGUUUGUGAAUGAGGAUCCUAGUAAAAAGUAAAUGCCUUAUUGCUAACUCAAACGCAUUUGGCUUUCUAGAAGUACUAUUUUGUCUCUUUAUGUGGUCUUUGUCAAGGGCACAUGCAAAUAGUGGAUAUUAGAUGUACAAGAUAGUUUACAAUUUGUUUACUGUGUGUGUUUUAUAGGUGGACUCUGUAACCUAAUUCAGAAUUAUUGUGAUGUUUUCACUACAGACAUAACUGUGUCUAUAUAUAUAUAUAUAUUUUGCUUUCAAGUAUCUCUUAACUUUUGCAUCCUGUAGGUUGAAAGCAUUGGUUCAUGUGAAAGCUAUAUUUUGUGGACUUAAUAUGUCAGAUAAUGGAGCAGAAAGUCAUUUUGAAUCCUUUAUGCUACUGACAUUUAUGUCAUGCUUUGGAGCUCAUAAUUCAUCUUAACAUAUUGUUGUAUGAUUUUUCAUUUAUGGUUAGGAGCUGUAUGUUUCUGCUGAGAUUUACUCUCUACCUGUUCAAUGCUAAAUAUUCCCUGACUUUUGAGUUCUGGAAUUGUCUACUAGUAUUAUUUGCUUUAUGUGGUUCUAAUACUGCCUGUCACUCCCUCCCGUGAGUCCAUAACUAUUCUGUUGCUUCUCAUUUUGCUGUCUGACAUAUAGUUCUCUUUUUGUUUUCUUUUUAUUUUCAGGAGGACCUUUUGGAGUUGCAGGAUCACAAUCUUGCUUCCACUAUGAGAGAGCAUCGACAACGGGCAUUAGAAUUCUGGGAAAAGAAUUGGGUAUUCUGCAGUCUUAUCUGCCCUGUUUAUCAUCAGAUUUUUAGUAUAGUUAGUUGUUAUUUUAACUUUUAUCUGUGUCUAAUAUGUUGACCUGUUCUUAAUUCAUUCAGCAUUCUGCUGUUCCUCUUAAAAUAAAGCGUCUUGCUCGUGACCCUGAGAGAUUCAUUUGGGCAGUGAGCAUUGCACAGUCUCGAUGCAUUAAUAUGCAAACAAGAAUAGGUGCUCUGGUUCAAGAUUUAAACAUGUUAGUUCCUUAUGCUGGUGAGUUCUUCAGCUUAUCUUUUUUUAUUUUCUCAUACCACAAUGUGUCAUUAGUUGAUAUGCUAGAAUCAUGUGGUCCUUCAGGUUUUUAUUUAGAUAUGCAGCUCCAGUUCUGAAGCUUUGUAUGACUUUUGGAAAUUUAUCUUGAAUUGCUGGAGUAGAGCCAAAAAAAAUGUGGAAUAAGAUAAUUUUCUUAAUCUCUUCCUACAAGAAAAAUGAAAAUCUGUGGGUACAGGGUGCUUCAACUGCAAUUCUGUUGUAAUAGAGUAGGAAAAUGAACAGAUUAGUAGGACAAACAUCAAAAAAUGAACAUUCUUUAUAGCCUAAAACUUAAAAAAAUGUAAGGAGGUGAUUGUUUGAUUAAUUUCCUCUGGCAGUUUUGAAGGACAAGGAGAUGAUUAAGGACCUCUUCGUGACAUGAAAUUUUUCACUCGGUUAAGCAAGACUGCUAAUAUGUCUUUGUUAAUUAGAGUCUCUUGAGCAUUGUUAUGCCACUAAAUCUUGCACUUUUUCACUUGCAUUAUGUCAUUUGUAUGCCAGAGAAGAUCAGAAUUAGAGGCUAAUGUUUAAAGAGUGGAAAUGUUGAGAAAUCAUAAACUAAUGGAAUUGUUGUGAAUAUGUUGAGAAAUUAUAGAUUAAAAAAUCUUAAUAUAUGAGUGUAGUGAUUAAUUACUGAGGGUUCUUAUCCAGAUAUGCUAAACCAUUCAUUCCAGCCAAAUUGCUUUUUCCACUGGCGUUUCAAAGAUCGCAUGCUUGAGGUGAUGAUUAAUGCUGGACAAAGGAUUAGAAGGGGAGAUGAGGUAAAUGCUUGCCAAUUUCCGUGCUAAAUGGUUGAUCUGGAUUGAGUGAUAUAUGUUAGUAGAAGCAGCAUGGUGAUUGUAGUUCUUUGUCACAUUGUAGAAGGCAUGAAUCUUUUUUAUGAUUUAAAAUUUGUACUAGUUGUUGGCAUCCUAAUUGAAUUCUGGUUCAUGCAUUAUUAGGCAAUUGAUGUCCAAGUCACAGUUUACCUCUUAAGUUACUAAAAGAUUGUUUAGGGAUGGUAAUAGAUGUAAAAUCUACUUGCAGCCUCCAAGUCCUGGCAUUUAAAACUUGGAAAACAAAUUUUCUUUCUUGUGCUGGCUUCAAUCUGUCUUUGGUGUUAUUGGCUCAACUCACACCAGGAUGAGAAAAGAAAAUGUUCCUUGAUUUUCAUGCUUAAAAUUUUCCAACAUUUCCCAAUAAAAAAGAAAGAAAAAAAAUCGAAGAAGACUGUCAAAUUUCUCUAAUUAAUUAUCAGAAACUAUAAUAUGUGAUAUAGCAGACCGAAUACCAAUAAGCAAAAACUGAAUAUCCCUUACAUUGUGGUCUAUUAUACUAGCUGUUGCAGACUUGAAGUCUCUUUACUAAUAAUACUUGGUUGUUGUUUGCUCAUACCAAUUUCUCUACUUCUUUUGCCUGCAUUAGAGUCUACGCCUAUUUAUAAAGUGCAUACUGCAGAUAUGAUAGGCUGUUACUUUCCUUAAACCUUUGCAGAUGACUGUCAAUUACAUGAGUGGAUGGAAGAAUAACUUGUUUAUGCAAAGAUAUGGCUUUUCAUCGCCUGUGGUAAUGGUUCUUUUCCUUGCUCUGCUUAAAAAAUUGCAAUAGCUGUUACACUAUUGUAGAUAAUGUCAUUGUACUUGCUUUCCAAUAAAGCAGAUCUUUUCCAUUGCCAUGGUUGAAAACUUUAUCAUGGGCAGAACCAAGAAUAUAGUAAUCUCUGUAUUGGUCCCACAGCGAUAAUUUUACUAUUUGCCUCCAUUUUGUUUUAUUUUUUUUUUUAGAAAAAAGGGAGGUAAUGGCUUGUAACAUUCUUGUUUCCUGAUUGUUUGCAAUAGGCUUAGAAUGUUUGAGAAUAUUAUUUGAUUUCAACUUAUGAAGCAAAAGCGAAGUCAUUAAAUUUAACUUUUAACUUAAACAUGUAGUACGCUAGUUGCCAAAUUAGAAAUUACAGUUGUGUGCUUGGGUAGGAUAGAAAACUUUGGCAUAAGAGUCAAAUAGCUUUGUUCCAAUAGACACUAUAGAUUUCAGAAUAUGACACAACCUUUAAGAUGUCAUGAUCCGUGUGCCUGUAAUGAAGUCUCAACACUUGCACAAGUGUAAACUCAAAUUAAGAGGUUUAAAGAUACAAAGAGGUAGUGACUAAAUUUUCUUUGAUCCACCAGUUCUGUAAUCUGUCUUCUGUGAGGAUAAAGAAGGACAAGAGGAAAUAGAAACAAAAAAUAAAAGAAAAUUUUGAAUAACUCAAGGAUUGGGAGUUAGUACUAAUUCUAAUUCAUGAUCUUAUCUAGUGACUUCAUUCCUUAAUUUCAUCUUCUUUUCUAAUGCUUUUAUGUGUAGACAAUGCUGCUUCUCUCUCUUUUUCCUUCUUUCUUUUGUCUUUUUUGUUUAUUUUUAUUUUUAAGCAUUUUUUGUGAGAACAUCAUAUAUGAUAUAUCCUAAGGGCAUGGAUAAUGGGGUGUAUAAUGGUAGUGAUGCGUGUCAAACCUUGGCAUAUUGCCUGAGGAAAGAUGGCUUUAAGCAGUUGGGCUAAACUCUGAACUCAGGAAAUGCAGAUCUUGGUAUCUUAAAUCCUUAUUAGCUCCGCAGUUCUUCGUAAUAGCUUUCUGGUACAGCUAAAUUGCCUAUAUUUCCACCGUGGAUUUGAUACCCUUCUUUUUGGCUUUGAGUUUUUACUUUUUCUAUUUUUAAAAUUUUUUUUGGUAUUAAUACCUUUCAUAUAUUAUUAAAUAUGCAGAAUCCUUGGGAUGUUAUUCAAUUCUCUGGUGGUGCUCGGAUUCAUUUGGAUUCUUUCUUGUCAGUUUUUAACAUAUCUGGCCUUCCGGAGGAAUAUUACCACAACAGUAUGGCUGAUGGGAUACUUUCAUUUGAGCUUUUAUCUUGAAUUUUUAGGAUUAAUUUAUCGAAUCAACAAAAUUGCUAGCAGGUCGGUUGUCAAAUAAUGGAUACAAUUUUGUUGAUGGAGCUGUUUUAGCAGCAGCUAGGACAUUGCCAACAUGGUCAGAUGGAGAUGUCCCUCCAAUACCAAGUAUAGAGCGGAAGGCUGCAAAGGAGUUGCAAGAAGAAUGUCAGCUAAUGCUUGCCGAGUACCCCACAACUGCCAAGGAAGAUCAGCAGAUUCUAGGUAUCAUCAGUAUGAAAGAUCAAGUUCCAAUAACAGAAAUGCAUAUAACCAAAAAAAAAUUCUGCUGCCUUUAAACACUGGGGUGAUGAAAUAAUUGUUUUUCACCUGAGAACUAGAUUUGCAGAAAAAUUUGGUCUCUGUCUUGGAACUUUGAAGCUUCUAAGAUCCAAGACAGAAUCGUGCGAACGGAAAAAACUUGAUCAAAAUGUAGUAUUUUUGUCACAAAGUGGCUGAAAUUUGGCCUCAGAUGUUUCACGUUAGAAGUCUAAUGUCCUCGUUAUUAUUUUCUUGCAUUGUCUUUGACAGAUUCUAUGCCUGAAGCUAGGAGGACGCUGGAAGCAGCAAUAAAGUAUGUAACCACCAGUAUGCAUACAUUGCUUUCCUUACUGUUCAUCAGAACUAUGAGAUUUACAUGACAUUAUAUUCGUGUUUGCAGGUAUAGAUUGCACAGAAAAUUACUCAUAGAGAAGGUCAUCCAGGCAUUAGAUGUCUACCAAGAGCAAAUAUUGUUUUAACGCGGACAAAUUUAGGAGGUUUAGCCACUUUUUCUAAGUUGGAAGGAGCCGAAACAGACAAUAUUCAUCUGAGAAUGAGUGGGGUGAUCCCUUCCUCCCCUCCCUGGUCUCUGCAUCUUUUCUUCCACGGAUUGUUUCUUCAGGAGGAUGGGGGAGUAAGGACUAAGGAUUUGGAUCCUGAUACCAACAAUGUGACUGCCACUGGGCUGUCACUUGCGGUGCCUCUGCCUCGACAGCUCUCACUCUUUUGAAGCUUGACUAAUCCUGGGGAUUCUUGGAUCUCCUAAACUUCAACUAGAACAUCCUAGCUGUUGACUUUGCAAAGAAGGAAAAGAUCAGGUUGGAAAACAAAAAUGAAGAGUCGAAGUUGUAUAUUUGGAACCUUUUUGCCACCACACUGGGGGACAAAACUAGAUGAUAAUCUAUGACAUCCCAGAAUUAAGGGCAAAACUGCAGUAGGCCAUAUCAGUAAAGAAUCUGAAUCUCAAUAUGAACCAUACCCUAGAGCACUUGUCCCCCUCUGUGAAUCGCAGAAAAGGAUGACAAAUUAAAUAGAAAAACAAUUCUUCUUCCUCGGGCAUAAUUACGGGAAAUCUGUUUCAAUUUUUUGACCUGGCAGGUAAUCAAGUAGUGAACUGAAGGAAGAGUCAUGUAAUAACAAAGGUAAGAUAAUUCUUCUUUAUUCAACAAUGUAUGAAAGAAAGAUUAAUCUACAAUACACUGAUAUUGUAUACAUUUUCACUAUUAGAUGUACGACAUAUAAUUUGAAUUUGAAUCUAUAACUCAAAUUUUGCACAUGUAUCGUAUAACCAACCAUAAUAGUGUAUACAUCGUUAGUGUAUAUAAUAUUUAUUCAAAAAAAAAAUCAAAUGAGCAAGAUUUUAUAUAUACGUCAUAUAUUCAAUCGUGGUAGUAUAUACACCUUUAGUGUAUAUAAAAUUUACUCAAAAAAAAAAUCUAACUGAGUAAACCCAAAAACAACUUGUUUGCGUGGUCAUGUGAAGACCAUGGCAUGAGAUUUAAAAUGAGAGUAGCAUGAGAUUUUUUUUUUUUAAAAAAAAAAAGAAGUUUGAUUUCUCGUGUAGAUUACGAUGGGAACAUCGUACAGUCCCCAUUUCCAAAGCCAUCCAAAGUCCAGCCAGUUUUCUAGCUAUAGAGAAGGAAAUUUAACUGUACUCACUAGGAACACCAUUCAAUGUCCAGCUAAGAACAGACGAAUUGCAUUUUAUUAUGAUGCACUUUCGCCGAACAGGAUAAACAGGUCCAUUCAAAGUUUUCCAUGUACAUCAAUAGUAAUGCAUGUCGAGGUCCAUAUAGUAUUUUAAAUAAAAUAAAAUAAAAAAAACCUACCGUCUGUAAUGUGCUAAAGUACAAUUAAAGACUGCCUCCAAAAAACUAAAUACUCAUUUCUCUAAGCUGUGGUAAAGACAGUAGUGUGCAAAACAAAAAAAUGGCGCUAGUUGAUACGAUGCAGAUCAGAAUAAAAACGAGGCAAAACUGGUAUUCAGUAUCCAACUGCUUUCACAUAGCUUAUAAUGUGUCUAGAGAUUUCGGUAAACUUGAAUUUUUAAUAUUUGCAUUAUAAGACAUUUUUAGACAUUCUCAGCUGCAUCUCUUUGUGACUCUUCUGACCUCCCUGCAGCGGCCAGCCUCUCUGCUGCUAAUCUCUCUUCGAGUGCGCGAGCACCCCUUUCCCUGCAAUUGAACAUUUUUCAUUCAUCAUCUUAUUAAAGUGAGAGUUCAGAUUCCACAACCAAUUUUUACUUCGUACUUCCAUCAGUUCUUUCUUUAAUAAAUUUCUUCAAGAAAUGUAUUCUCUGUUAAAAGGCUUCUAUUAACUGAUAUAAAAGGAAAAAUCAUUCAAUCAGCUUUUAAUCUCAGGUUAUACCGAGCUGAAGAGUUUUAAUUCAUGUCAAAAUCUACCACGUGAGAUAACCUAGACAACUUAUCUGAUUGAUGAAAUCCUCAACAUAUGAACAAGUUCUGAGAGAAAAGGAACUCCUCAAGGCAUUAUCCCUGUUACAAAUGAUUAUAUGAAGCACCAAGAAGAGUUAAGCAUUCGUUAUCAAUUAUCAGCUCUCCUUAUUCAACUUGCAGAAACUCUCGAAUGUUUCUCUUCCGAGUCAUCUUUUUCUUCUACUAGUAGUCCAUUACCUAUCCCAUUCAUAACACCAAAAUUGAACCGCUCCACCAAGUACCAUCAAGCAUGAUGUUACUUCUGCUCUAAUUACAUCAGUCAGAUAAGUGUUUCAAAUCUACGUCCUCAAAAAGAACAAAUUGCAGAAAAGAUUGCCUUGUGGUAGUAGUACACCUUCAAAAAAAAUGAAUUACUAUACCUGAAAAAACAAACCUAUCCUUUGCACCCAUUUUAAAAGUUCCAUUCCAGAUCAGAAGGCUAUUGUUUGACUAAAGCUCAUUUAAUCUCAUCCCUUUUGAGUUAAUUAUUGCUUCCACUAAAUAAAUAACGGCACAGGUUACCUCCUCCGAGAUGCCUCGAUAGGAUCAGAACCAGGCAGUGGCUCACCCCCCAAGGUAUGACCCCUGGCCUCAUCAGAAGUUUCAGAUCUUCUUCCACAACAUAAUCGCCCAAAUAUUGUAGCAAUGGGAUCAAUUACAGGUCUGCAAGCCAUUCAUCAACGUAUAGUAUCAAGGAAAGUAAGGGAAUGAAGUGCAAAAACUGAGCUGAAUACGGAAAAUUGCAACUCGCAUUGCUUGCCUUAAAAAUUCAGGGAAGAAUGUAGAGAAUGCAAACUCAUCACUUGGAUCACCCCUGAGUUUUGUUUCAGGUUUACUUUGCCAAUAUCUGAGGUAAAUCCAACCUAUAUAUGCACCAAAUACUAAAGUUGGGAGGUAUGAUGCUGAAUCUGGUGUAAAAAAGCUUGCAGCAAUGGACACCAAUAACAUGAGAGAAGGCAACCACUGCAGAUAACCAUAACAGAUAUACAAGAGGAUGUCAUACAAUAUUCUGAACCUCUUCUUUGUAUAUGAAUUUUCCAAACAUGUUGAAAAUUAUCACUCAAGUACUCUCAAGUUACAUACUUUUGCUUUUAAUUUCAGCACAGGCAGCUCUUGGUCAGGUAUAAUUUGCUUAAUGCCGACAAGAAAUCCUGAUAGAAUCCCUUGAAAGCCAGAAAUUGGCAUAUAACUACAAAAAAGGCAAAUAAAAGAAAUCAGAUUGUUCCAUGUUAACAGUCAACAAGAUGGCAUAUGGAAAUCAGAAUAAUUUUGCGAGGCAUAAUAAAAUUAAAGUUUCAUACUUAUAUUUGAAAUUUUAGUAUUAUAAGAUAUAUAGCAUCUAACAUAUGUAAACUCCAACAAUGUUUCUGCAUAACAAGUAAAUCUUGAAACGCUUACAGGUAAUUUUCCUGCCUUGUUAUGUAGUACAAGCAAAUGGCCGUGAUGAAAACACAGACAGAAGUUAAGAAAUUAACCACAAAGAUAAACUUUAAGAAUUCUCGAGAACCCCAUAUUGGUUCAAGCAGUUUUCCAAGGAAAAGGAGACCAAGAGUGCUGAUGACCACCUGAAAAAUAAUUAUAUCAUUAACAUAGAUCUUUUACAAGGUAAAAGGAAACAAAGAAAUGACUUCUCUAAAAUAUUAAAAUAUCUUUCUAAGGGGGGUGAUGAUGAAGAUAUGGAGCACAAGGCGACAGAAGGGACAAAAUACGCACUCCAUGCACAGAUUGCUCAAUGUAACCGGCAGUUAUAAGAUUCCAAGCAAAAGGAAUUGUCCUGCAAGAAUAGGAAACAAUAAAGUUUCAGCAAUGAAAUACUACUUCCAGAUCCAGAUAUGGCCGAUACAAGAUUUUUUCUGGACAAGACAGACUACUAGCUAGCAGACCAUGGACAUAUGAUAUGGAUCAGAAACGACCAAACAUGACAGAAACUCUUAUAUGAAAAUUAAAAAAAAAAAGCCUUAAAAACAAGGAUUCAGAGUGUUUAUCGGUGUCAGCGACUACUUUCUCCAAAUUAAGCGUCUAAUAUAUUGAUAAAGCUGUGCAGUGGACGUGGAAAAGUAAUUAAUUUCCAUAAGCUCCCAUUGGCAUAAUACUAAAAUCACAGACCAAAAAUGUAUGGUUGUUAAGGAAAACCAAACCCUUCCAAAACCUACAAUGGCAGGUGCUUCCCUGGAUAGGCUUGACCUUAUUUCAAAUACUACAACCAUUUAUUCAAUUAACUCCAGUUGGAAAUUCACUCCCUGACAGCCUUACUGAUUAAUUUUGCAGAUCACAUUCCAUAAUUCAACCAAAUGCAGAAAAGAAUAAACAUAUAAAUGAAAUUAGGCAAAGGCUAAGCAGUAAUUAUCCAAUUACCGAGCUUAGUAUUAACAUAUAUUGUAUCGCAACAAAGAGGAGGAGGAGGAGAAAUAUGAGUACUUGGCGGGGAUAAGAGCAAGAUAUGAAGAAGCAGUAGGAAUAAUCUGCACAACAAUGUGGCCGCCCACAAGCACCACGGCAAGCCCUUUACACAACUUAGUGAAGCCCCCUGUCAACACGCCCUAAUUCCAAAUACAACGCACCCAAUUCUCAAUCAAUUUCACAGAUCUAAGUUCAAUAAGGAAAACCAAACCCUUCCAAAACCUACAAUGGCAGGUGCUUCCCUGGAUAGGCUUGACCUUAUUUCAAAUACUACAACCAUUUAUUCAAUUAACUCCAGUUGGAAAUUCACUCCCUGACAGCCUUACUGAUUAAUUUUGCAGAUCACAUUCCAUAAUUCAACCAAAUGCAGAAAAGAAUAAACAUAUAAAUGAAAUUAGGCAAAGGCUAAGCAGUAAUUAUCCAAUUACCGAGCUUAGUAUUAACAUAUAUUGUAUCGCAACAAAGAGGAGGAGGAGGAGAAAUAUGAGUACUUGGCGGGGAUAAGAGCAAGAUAUGAAGAAGCAGUAGGAAUAAUCUGCACAACAAUGUGGCCGCCCACAAGCACCACGGCAAGCCCUUUACACAACUUAGUGAAGCCCCCUGUCAACACGCCCUAAUUCCAAAUACAACGCACCCAAUUCUCAAUCAAUUUCACAGAUCUAAGUUCAAUAUGUCAGUAGAGCCUAAAAAAUAAACAUAAACUUGCGAUAUAUGUACACUUACGCCGCCGGAUAGUGGUGGAGUGCUCAUUGCUCAGAGGCUUUUUGGCUUCCACCGGCGGUCUUUUCAGUUUUUAACUCCGAUUAGAUCGAGCUAUAACGCUGCAAAUUUAUGCUAGGGUUUCUUUCUCUACUCUUUUCUAAUUUUGCAGAUUUUUAUGUAUUCUCUGAGUAAUGAUUCUACCAAUAAAUUUCUACUCCGAUUUUGAUUGAUAAUUCAGCUCCUCCGGCUUUCUUAGCUCUCAAGGUUUAAUAAUGAUCGUCUUUUGCCUUUGAAAUAGAUGGAUCACGCAAAAUUGCCUGGUCAGUCCCUCAAGUAUUUAUAAAAUCUAAUUUGUUUACCCAUAGUUCUUUAUUUUUUUAGGACAAAAUUUAAAAUGUUAUCUACUAUUGUCAAUUUGUUAUUGAUGAAAAUAAUUUUUUUUUUAAUGACAAAUACUUUGAAUUAUAUCCAACGAGUUCUACUCUGCACACCGUUAUAAAAUCUUUUUUUUUCUUGAGAAAAGCACGGAACAUAUUGUUUCUAUUCAAAGAAAUGAUUAAAAAAAAAUGAGAUAGUGUAUCGUAGGACGAGCGAUUUUCUUGUUUCGACUCAGAGAGAAGCUCACUCUCGAGUAGUAGUACUGUGUUUUAGCCAUGAAAAGGGCAGUGCCAUAUGCUUUUCACAGGUUUCUAUCGUUCAUUAAUUGUCAUUUUUAGCUUAUUAUUGUUUGACAUGGAGAAGUUAACAACUAAGGAUCUUUUUAGGGAAAAUCGUUCAAAACGUCCCCCACAUUUUGAAAAAUAACUUUUUUCAUCCUUCACUUUUAAAAAUGUAAUUUUACGUCCCUUACAAAUUCACAUUGAUCAAAUUUGGUCCCUACUUAGGUUUUCGACUAGUUUUUUGUCGGAAUUCACUACGUGCCUUCCACGUGAUUAUAUUUUAAGGGCAAAAUUAUCAAAUCAAAUUUUAGAUAAUUCGAUUCAUAAUCUCUCACAUUUCAUAAAAUAAAUUUUUUUGUCCCUUUCAUUUCACAAAAUGAAUUUUUUCAUUCUUCACAUUUUUCAAAAUGAAUUUUUUCAUCUUUUAUUUUAACAUGUGUGUGAAUAAUUUUUUUUUAAAUCCAUGUAUAUAUCUAUUUGAUUUCACCUGAACAGCACGAAUAGCAUGUGAAAUCAAAUAGAGAUAUAUUACAUAUUAUUCGUACUGCUCAAGUAAAAUCAAAUAGAUAUAUACAUCGGUUUAAAAAAAUUGUUAGUUUUUCACUUAUAUUCAUUUUCUUUUACUUGAAAUUUGAAAAUAAAGAAGAAAUUUAAUCCUAAAUAUUAUCGAGUGUUUAUAUCGAAUUAAAUUUGGACAGAAAAAGUAAACAAAAGAAAAGUAUGACAAAAAGAAAUUAGUGAUUGGUAUUUUCAAAUUUUAAGACAAUCACAAGGCAAGUAAUUCAACAAUUGGUCUUAAAAGUGUCGAAUAGAAAUUUCAGAUUUAAACUGAAAUUUGUUAAUUUGUUAGCACAAUUAUAGAAUUCGAGUUAGGACCCAUUAAUUAGAUGACCUUAUUAUACAAAUCAAUAAAUAAAUUAUUACCAAAAGAGAAAUGUCACAAAUAUUGAAUAUGUUCAAAUGGUGAAAUCAUAUAAAUAUAUACACCGGUUUCAAACAAAAUUAUUAGUUUUAAACCCCUAUAAAUAUAUAUUGAAUAGCAUAUGUAUAACUACGAUUAGUAUUUUUAGAUGAAAUCCAAUAAAGAUAAAUUACAUGUUAUUCGUACUGUUCAGGUAAAAUCAAAUAGACAUAUACGUGGGUUUAUAGAAAAAAAGUUAUUCAUACACAUGAUCAAUGAGGGAUGAAAAAAUUCAUUUUGAAAAAUGUGAGGGAUGGAAAAAUUCAUUUUUUGAAAUGUGAGGAACGAAACAAUUCAUUUUGUAAAAUGUUAGAGACAAAAAAAUUUAUUUUGUGAAAUGUGAGGGACUAUGAAUCAGAUUAUAUAAAAAUUCGAUUUGACAAUUUUGCCCUUAAAAAAUGAUCACAUGCAAGUCACGUGGUAAAUUCCGACCAAAAACUAGUCAGAAACCUAGGUGGAGACCAAAUUUGAUCAAUGUGAAUUGUAAGGGACGUAAACUUACACUUUUAAAAGUGAGAGACGAAAAAAGUCAUCUUAUAAAAUAUUAGAGACGUUUUGAACGAUUUUCCCAUCUUUUUAACCAUUGCAGGUUGGGCCACCCCAUAGAGUAGGUUUCCCCUCCCCUUAGGAGUAGGAGUAGGAUAGGCUAGGCUAGAUGUGCCGUUAAGCUAAAAAAAAAAAAAAAAAAACCAUUGCAGGUAACUAGAAAUGUUUUUUCACAUCGUUAAAGAAUGCUUAUGCUCAAGUGAUAGUGUGAUCAAUUCGGCCUAAAGAAGCAAGUUAAGAUCCAAGUUCAGACUGGAUAACAAAGGCACUAAAAUUAGCUGGCUGUCUUGUCUCAAUUCUCAAUGGACCAAAAGAUCCAUGCUCAAACUGGAAAGAGGUCAAUCACGGAGGAAAUAGAAAUUGGUAAAUGCAAGAACAAUUAAGCACUCUAAACCAAUAUGGUGAUUUCUCACUCUUUUACACUGUUAAAUCUCCUGAAACUAUACAGAAUAUACAACGUCUGCUAUGUUACAACUAAACAGCAUGAACAGUCGGCCUCUGUUGCCUGACAAAUUGCAGACACCCAUACAAACACGUCAUAUAACUCUCAAAUACAACUGAAGAGUAAGCAGCUCGAUCGCCUCCAUUCAUAGGUUAUGCAGGUGCCCAGGUGUAAUAACAAGUAUAC
RNAcentral lists this long non-coding RNA (74710 nucleotides) under Coffea arabica (coffee). RNAcentral describes it as "long non-coding RNA (CARA_LNC006439)". The record is from RNAcentral. Lineage: Eukaryota; Viridiplantae; Streptophyta; Magnoliopsida; Gentianales; Rubiaceae.